CAAUCUAAAAGUAAGUCUCUAUGAUCAUAAUCUGAAACAUGGGAGUGUUGUCUUCCUUUUCCCACACAAUUGUCAACAAAAUCAUCAGGGUGCAUGAGCGUUGCCAAACCUCUAUAGCUUUAGGACCAACAAUAAUGAACAUAGGGGCAGCUAUAGCACUAGGCAAACUAGAUAGUGACCUAGGGUUCCAAAUUUUAGAAAGGCCCCAGUAUUUAACUGUUUUAAUUAAUACAUUGAUGAAUAGUUAAUUUUUUUAGGAUUUCAAAGAUUUUAUUUAAGUUUGUAUAUAAAAAAAGUCUAAUUUUUAGAUAUCUUCCUAUUAUUACUUCCAUUCAUUAUUAUUCAAAAUUAAGAUUUUUUUUCUUAAUAAAAACUUUAAAUUUGAUAAUAUUCACCUUAAAAUAAGAUUUAGUUAUUUUUUAUAAAAAUGUCAGAUAUAAUAAUCCUCAUUACUUCAUAUAGGGUAGAAUUAAUAGUUUUCCCACUUAAUUCUUUCUUUUUGUUAAUCUUUGCAAGAAAAAAAAAAAUACUUUCACUUUCCAAAAACGAAUACACUAUUAAAAUUAUUAACAUUAGAAUUGACUUUUAGUAUUCCCUUAAACUCUAAUAAUAACCUCAUAACCAAUAGACAUUAAAUCAAUAGUAAUCUCAACUAAAAUUUUUCUUACUCUAUUCACCACAAAGAAAAUUAUUCUCUACAAAAUCUAUUACCAUCAUGUGAUUAUUAUAUUCUUCACAGUUAGUCAACUUUUCAGGUGUUAUCGUUCUAUUAUUUAUUUCAAUUAUAAUUGUUAUUAAUUUUUGCAAAUUUAAUUUUUUUUUAUUUUUUAUAUUGACAUAUGGCUUGACAUUUGAAUCUUCAGCUAAGUUAGAAUAAAAGGAAAAAAAAUCUUAAAAUUUGAUUAUUUACAAAAAUUGUUAAUCCAAGUUAUUUAGCUUGGUGUUUUUGUUGUUUAAAUAGUAAAAGAUAUAUUAUCAUUUUACAACCUAAUUUUUUUGAUGUAUCACUUUGCCACUAGAGCUUUUUGAUAAUUAUUUUUUCUCACUUAAUAUUUCAAUUUUUAUCAUUUUACCACUAAGCCAUUAAAGUUAAUAGAACAUUAAUAGAAAAUGUAAUCAAAGUCUAUUUUACCCCUAAAUUGUAUAAGUAUAAUUAAAGAAAUACAAUAUUAAUUAUACAAAAAAAUAAUACUUUUAUCAAUUGAUUAUUUUAUAUAUCUAAAAUAAUUAAUUUAUACAAUUGUAAAUAUUAUACCUUGUGAAAUUCCUAAAAUAUUGAAUAUAUUAAAAUUCCUAAAAUAUCCCUGUAACAUCACAAAUGCAGUUAACGGUUUCAUAGUAAAAUGAUAAAAACUAAAAAAUUAAGUAGGAAAAAAUAAUUGUCAGAAAAUUGUGGCGGUAACGAAAUAUAUUAGAAAACAUUAAGUUGUAAAAUGAUAAUAUGCCAUAAUAAAAUUUAUUAAUAAUAAAAAAUUCUUCUAGUUUUGCAAUUUCUAUAGAAUGAUUUUGGAAAAUCAAGAAAUGUUUGGGGUGGGAGGGGGAGAGAGAGAUAAAUUGUAUUAUAGAUAACAAUAAUUUGAACAAUAUAGAACGAAGAUAAACUGUGUUACGGAUAAUGAUAACUUGAACAAUAUGGAAGGAAGAUAAAUUGUGUUACGGAUAACAACAACUUGAACAAUAUGGAAGAAAGAUAAACUGUGUUACGGAUAACGACAACUUGAACAAUAUAAAAGGAAGAUAAAAUGUGUUACGGAUAACGACAACUUGAGCAAUAUACAACUUGAGCAAUAGAAGGAAGAUAAAUUGUGUUACGGAUAACGACAACUUGAGCAAUAUAGAAGGAAGAUAAACUGUGUUACAGAUAACGACAACUUGCACAAUAUACAAGGAAGCUAAACAACUUGAACAAUAUACAAGGAAGAUGGACAAUAUAGAAGGAAGAUAAAUUGUGAUACAGAUAACGACAACUUGAACAAUAUAGAAGGAAGAUGAACAAUAUAGAAGGAAGAUGAAUUGUGUUACAGAUAACGACAACUUGAAUAAUAGAGAAGGAAGAUAAAUUGUAUUACAGAUAACGACAACUUGAACAAUAUAAAAGGAAGAUAAAUUGUGUUACAGAUAACGACAACUUGAACAAUAUAGAAGGAAGAUAAACUGUGUUACAGAUAACGACAACGUGAACAAUAUAGAAGGAAGAUAAACUAUAUUACAGAUAACGACAACUUGAACAAUAUAGAAGGAAGAUAAACUGUGUUACAGAUAACGUUCAACUUGAACAAUAUAGAAGGAAGAUAAACUGUGUUAUAGAUAACGAUAACUUGAACAAUAUAGAAGGAAAUCAAAAGAGGUAAGUUAAUUCGAACAAACCUGUCAUCACCAGGGACGGAUCUAGAAAUUUAGUUCAUUGAGGGCAAAAUUAAAAUGAAUUAAUAUUUUUAAAAAACGACCCAGUAUCAAAAUUUCUUUAUAAAUUUAUCCCUACUAAAAUAAAAUUUGUAAAAAAUUAAUUUCAAAAUAAAGGAAUACUUUUUGUUAAGCGGGAUUAAUUGCCUACACUAGCUUGUAUGUGAAUCCGCUCUUGCUCAUAACCUUCAUUAUUGAGUAAACAUUAGGCUUUAAGUAUAACUUAACGUAUGAUAAUCUAAAAAAUAGCAAACACUAAGCUCUUAGCUUCUGACAAUCCAAAAAAUAGAAAAGAUUAAGCAUGUUUCAUAACUUACACUGUGACUCUAUAAAGUAAGAUGCCACUACUUUUGGCUAAUUAAACGAAAACUACAAUGCCCAAUUAAUGAAUAAAUAAAUAAUAAAUUAUUAUAAGAUAUUAUAUCAAAUUGUUUACAAAUUAACACAAUUACUUUUUUUUAUAAAGGGUAAAAGAAACAUUCUUCAACAAGAAUAGGAAAAUUCAAAAUUGAUAAUAAAUGUAUGAUCAUUUCAUUUGAAUAUAAAAUGAUAAAUCUAUUUAAGUGGUCUUGAUUUUUAAUCAUCAGUAUCGGGUUGUUUAUUGAAUUAAAUUUGUCAAUUGAUUAAUAAUUUGAUUAAAAAGAUUUAAAUUUUGUUAUUAAUUAAGUUUGUUAUUAAAUACAAUUGAAAUAAUUAUUAAAUACUUUAUAGUUAUAACAGAAAAGAGUAACACAUUUCAAAUAUUAUAUCUUAAAUAAUGUGACAUGUGAUAUGUCAUUCAUAAAAAAAUCAAUAAUUUUUUAUAAUUUUCAAAUGAAUUAAUUACAUUACAAUAGUUGCCAAACAAUAAUAAAAAACGGCCUAACUCAAUUUUUUAACUUCAAUCCAAAUUCCAAACUAAAGCAUCUUCGACAAUCAUAAAACGAAUUUAGAAAAAAUAAAUUAAUAAAAAUAUAGAAAUAACUGAAAACCAUUAUCUUCUGCCUGAAUAGUACAUAUUUAUGGAGAGUUACAUAUCACGAGGGAAAAGUAUAAAAGGUCCAAACUACCCUUAUAGAGAAUAUCAAGCACAAUUCCAACAAAGCCCUCCCUUUCUUCACCAACGUCAUGUCGUCAUAAAAUCAUCUCUCCAAGUCACUCAAAACCACUCUUUUUUUUUUUUUCUUGGCUUCUUCCAAAAAAAAAAAAAAUUAAGUCAACACAUUAAAAUAUAUAAAGCAGUCAUUAUAUUUAUAUUGAAAUUCGUUCAAAUAAUAUAUAAGCUUGACCAAUGGCUCAUUCGAGAUUAAUUUUAAGAGACUGAAAAAUGAUUUUCAAAAGUUAAAAAAUAAUUUUAGGAUUUGGCAAAAUUUUCAUAGAAAUCGCUUUUGGUAAAAUCAUCUUAUUCUAUAGGAGAUUUUGAAAAAUGAAAAAGGAUUUACUUUUUAAAAUUUGAUUUUGAGAAUCACUUUUAUAUUUAAUAUAAUUUCAUAUAUAUAUAUAUUAGAAAAAAUUAAGAUAACAAAAUAAAUUUAAAAAUAUAAAAUAUUUAUUUUAGUUUUAAUUAUUAUAUGUACCAAUAAAAAAUAUUUCAUAUACAUGCUAAUAAAUAUUUAUAUGUUUUAUUUAAUAUUAUAUCGAAUUCAGUCAUUUAUAUUCUUGUAGUAAUUUAAUAGCAAGAUCUAUCAAAUACAUAUAACUGCUUUAAAACUCACGCAACUUUAAAAUUUUUUUUAUUAAAUAUUUAAUUGAUUCUAUUCACAACUGAUAAUUUCUACAACACCGCUAGUUACAAUUAUUUUAAAAAAUACAAUAUUAUCAUAUUAGCACCGAAUAUAUUUCAAGUAAUUUUUUUAUUAGCCACGCUUAUUUAAAUCUUAAUAGAGAUAUAAAGUUAAAAAGAAAUAUCAAUUUUGAGUUUUGUUCACCAUUUAUCUUUGAAGAAAGAAUAAUUAUACCAAAAAAUUAGAAAAAAUUCAUCAUUAAUUUUCGUUAAAAACAUUUCUACGAAAAUACACGAACAUAAUGCACAAUCAAGUAUAACCCUCAUUGGUUAUUAUCGGACUCUGAAUCAUGUAAAUACAAAACGCUUAGAUAAUCGAGAAUGAUACUUAUCACUCGACUUUGCUAGUGGACUACGAGGUGUAAAUUUGGAAUCAAGUAUUUCAAAAGGAGGGUACUCUAGUAAUUGACUAUUAAAUUAGGCAUACGAAAAUACAUUUAACUAUGGCGGCAUAUAUCUGAAAUUCAUCGUCAUCUCCAACCAAUAAUUCAUCUAACACCACAGCAUAACACACACGAAGGUCAAAGACAGACAAUAACAAAGGAAGGCAAAAAUGAGAAACUGAAAAAAGAAUUCAAUAUAAAGCGUUUACGAUGAUGACGAGAACUCGUAGUUAUUAUUAAUUUGUUAUUAAUAAUUAAAAGAUUCACAAAAAGAAGAAGUGAAAUUUGGCCGAUCGCUUACAGAGAGAUGGAUCCAGAGCACACGUUUAUACGAGUGCAAGAGCGGUUUUCGCGAGUGCUGACGCCGAGAGUUAGGGCCUAUUUGGAGUACAUUUAUCUUUUCAUCGCUAUCACUUUGUUCUGUGUUCUUGUUGUUAUGCACGCUAAUUAUGUUCAACAGGUAAUUAAUUUUUUUAAUUAAUUAAUUUCUUCGAUUUUCUUUUCUUUCAUUUUUUUUAAAGUUGUAUAAAUUAGUUAGAAUUUUUUUUUUUUUUUUGUAAUUGACUGUGUGAACUGUAGUAGAUAUAGUUUUUGUAGCUUUCUUAACCAGUGGAAGUGAUUUUUGGGGAAGAAUAUUAUCAGUGCUUCUCCUACCAAGCGCUUUUGGAAGAAGCACCCUUACGUUAAGUAAAAUUGCAUUAAGAUUUUUGUUUUUCAGGUAGAAUUGCUAUUUAUAGUUGAUUUUGCUUAGAAUUUAAGAAUUAGAGUACUGGAACAUUGUCUUUAAUUAUCUGCCAUUGAUGGUAUCGUGCUGCUGUUCAAGUUUUUGAUAAGCCAAUAUUCAGCUCUAAUAGAGGGGGGGGGGGGGGAGGGGGAAGACAGUAGUCAGAGCUUUGUUAACUAUGCCGUUGAAACUGCUCUGAGUUUUGAACAGUGUAAUGUGUAUGGUAAUUUUUGGAUUAAAGUGCUUGUUAAGUGUAUAAUGUCUGUAUCAACAUAUGCUAUAGGAAAAAAAAUUGCUGAAGUUGUAAAUUUAUUUAUUUAUUAACAUUUUCAUCACUCAAUUUCAUGCAAGUAAUGGAAUAGAUUAUGAAAUAAGCACUAUGAAAACAUUUUGACAAAGCAUUUUUUGGUACAGAUUAUAAAAUAAGCUACUCUUAAUUAUCGCAAAAAGUAAUCCCUAAUGAGCCCUUUGGUUAGUAAUAUAAAAAGCAACUUAUCAUUUUUUAAUUCCAUAAUCACUUACACAUUAUACCUUCUUUGUAAAUAUGAAUUUAAAUUUGCAGAUUCAGCUUGCUUUACGUUUCUUUGCAAUACCAUUUCUGUUAAUAGGCAACAUGCUUCUUUGAUUUAUUCUCGUCUGUCUCUCAGUAUGUGUGUUUUAUUUUAGUUUAUAUAUUUUUUCCAGAAAUCGUAUGCACCUUUUGACUUAAAUUUGAAUAUUUUGCUUAUAAAGCCUGGCUGUUCAAGUGAAUUUGCUGGAAUUCGGAUGACUGAAGCCCAACUCAUACAAAUUAAGGUAUAUGAACUUUCGUUUUAAAAUUUCAGUCUACUUUUCUGACGUGGAAUUUUCUACGUUAUUUCAUGUAUCAAGUUUGUGCUAUCAUGAGAAAUCUUAAAAUUUUGGGUGGAUGUCACAACUGAUCACAAAAAGUUGAACUCGGAGCCUGCGUUGUCUUAGGAUUGAGUUAUCCCCUUCUUCUGCAUCUGCUUGUGCAGCUACCAGAACAUAACGUUUGUAUUACAGCUAGAGGAGCGUUCUUCUUGGCCAUUUGUGUCUAGUCUGUUUUAAAAUCUGAUGAUGUUGUAUUAGUUAUUUCUCAAGAAUAACUGUUCUUUUUAUUAUUUGCUAAGAUGUUAUAUAGCAAUAUAACACAGAAAAAUUGUUGAGAAGUAAAUGCAAAGUUUUUUCAAACUUGAUUUGAUGUUUGAGAAUAUAUGCAUUAUCAACUCAUAGGCUUCAGAUAAGAGGCAUGACACAUUUUGAAGGUUGUAUCUUGGCAGUGGCUUGGCCAUGCUAAAAUAGCCAUGCUAAAAUAUAAAAGCUCUGUUUGACACCUGGUGAAGUCCAACUUCGCACUAGUGCAGCUGCGAUCCUGGCCGAACUUGAAUGCCUGUACCUGUCCCAUGUCUAUUCAAAAUUAUAUAUUUCUGUUUCCUUUUUAAUUCAGGCAUCUAUUUUAGGUUUUAGGUUUUAGUUUAAAGGUAAUUUGAGAUAGUCAUUUAAGUUGGCCGAUCUUUCAUGUCUAAGAAACUGACCUUUUUUCCUUUUACUUUUCUUGUUUGAUUUAGAUCAGUAGUGCAGGUUUGUGGUCACAGCAUGACUCUGAUUCUAAUGUUGUAGAUGUCACUAGUGUGGAUAAUUCAAUCAAUGAGUUAGAAGUUUCAGGUAUGGAUGCUGAUGGAUUAACAUUCUCGGCUGCAAACCUUUGGUUAAAUUGGAUUCGUUCCAAUGUUAGGAAAGGCAAAUUGGCUUUGAAGUUCUGGAGGACUGAUAUGGAACCUGUUGAACACCUAGCAGAGGGCUCUGUAAGUAGUCAAAGCUUUAAGCCAACUGAUAGUGCAGUGAAUAAAAUUGAUAAGGAGGAGGCACGUAAUAGUUUUGCUUUAUCAGCCAAGGAGGCUUUUAAAUCAGCAAUCAUUCAUUUUGGGAAAAAGUGGUAUAGGCGUUUAUCUUUUGUUUGGAGACAGGCAAUGCAAAUCUUACGAAAUUUCCAGAAGCUGUGGGUGAGUAAAUUUGAAAAUUUCCUUCUUAAUUGUUAAUGUUUUUUUUUUUGGUUGGGCGGGGAGGGGGGAGGGGGGCUAAAGUUUCUCAAUUGCCUCCUAUCCUAGUUUUACAAUUCUUGAUGAAAGAGGGAGUAGACUGUUUUCAGAUUAUGCUAGUUGCAAAUAUUGGCCACGGUCUAUUAUUUACUGUUGUAUCUCUAUUGCUGCGAAUAAGGAGAAAAAUAGGAGCUUUUUGAUCUCUAUUGUUGACUCUAGGAAACAGAUCUUCACUUUGAGUCUCCCUUUUUUCUAUAAGCAAAUUCAUUAAAAUACUGGCACGUUUUAUGCCUUGACAACAUACAUGCAAAUGCGUGCAAUAUCAAUUGUAUUUCUGGCCAAAUGUUCCCCUCUUUUCAUAAAAAAAAAACAAUUUUUUGAAAGCUGUAUAUUCUGAUUUCUGAUUUCUGAUUUCUUUCUCCGUUUUUUCUUUUUAUUAAUUAAUAUUGUUUUCUUUUUUUCUAAAUAUCACUUACUAAAUUUUCUUCUCUCAUUCUUUUGAGAGUAUAAGCCGGUGCUGCUUUUGGAUAUUCAUGUCAAUAUGACUCUUUACAACCUAUCUCUUCCUCUCCCUUAAGCUAAAUUUUCUCUUAUUUUCUCAAGCUGCAUUAAAAUUAAUCAAAAUAAAAAGUGCAUGUUUGCUUUAUUCAUUCCUAAUUCUGUUAUCAUUUUAAAUUCUUUAUGCUGAAUUUGAACUUCCUAGUGCAGAAUAUUGCGGGGAUACAUUUAAAUCUUGAUGUGCCGAAAUUGAUGCAUGUACUUUACCUGGACAGGAUUCACUCUUAUGCUGGUAACUGUCUUUCCCCUUACUGUUUAUCAUGAUGUUGCAAUAAUAUUUCCAAAAUUCAUAUGGCCUCUGGCAUAAAUGUUCCGAUAUUUAUUAUUAUUUAUGUAAUCUGGAUCUGUGGUGAAGAAAUAUGUAUGUAAUAUUGCAUGUAUGUAACUGUAAAAUGAUUGAAGCAAUCGGUAAAAUAAUUAUAUAUAUUAAAUUAGAGUCACUGAAAUUAGAAUAUCAUCACAUACUAUACUUCUGAAUUAUGCAGAAUGAGACAUUUAUUUAAAUUUGUAAAUGCUUAUUUUUGAGUUCUGGUAAUGAUUGUCAAUAUAUGUAAUAAACUCUGUAUUUAAAUUUGUAAAUGCUUAUCUUUUAGGUCUGGUGAGGGAAAUUUCCGUGCAAAGCAUCUAGGCUGAACUUAGUAUCUAGAGUUUGUUUGAAGUUUUGUCUAUCUCUCGUUUGAGGACAUAUGAGAUUUGGGUGCCAACAAUAAAUGCUAGUUCUUAAGUUUUCUGAUCUGAAGUGCAAUGUAACACCCCCUAGACAAGUUAUAAAUCAUAUAUGAUUUAAGAUUAUGGAAUGGAUCUAAGAGACAUGGGAUUUUGGGCCUCAUUAAUCAUAUCAAUUUAUGAUCACGUGCAAUGGUGAUAAAGUUAGUUACAGUUUCAUCCUUUCGUGUUUUAUUUUUGUUGGCUCUAAUUGAAACUGUGCUGUCUACUUGCAGUGCAGUGGCUUGAGAAUAGAACCAAAGCAUUUGAACCUACUUAUUUGUACACCAUGGAAAAGGUAUCUUUUUUGUUUGUUAGACUGAUAUAUCUUCUUUCUGUUGUUUAAAACUUUGCUGCGUCCUCUCCGAUGGUUGAUCAGUUGGUAUGAUCUUUGGUUUCUAGCCAAGUGGUCGGUGACUCCAAUCUGUUGAAGCUACCUUUCUAAAUGUUACACCAUGAAUUUGCUGACUAUAGAGAUUUUGGAGUCUGAUAGUAGUCCCUAUUUCCAGACCUGGUGCACAGGUGGAGAGAUUUCCUGUGCAUUGAAAAUAUUUAAAACAAAAAAAGGAAAAAUUUUGUUGUAUUUAAAGUACUUUAAUUAGUUGAAAAAAAAUUAAUCAAGAUUCUGCCUAGGUGUUGAAGCUUGUAAUCUUUUUUCUUCUUUUUUUUUAAUUUUUUAAGUCUGUUGUGUAGGGGUAUUUCUUGUUACCAGAAGCAGAUAAAUCUCGGCAUAAUAUACGUACUUUCAAUAUCAGCAUAUCAGCUCAGCAUCCUUGCUUUGGGAACAGGUUAUAUAUCCUAUGCUUUGGCUUGUCUGCAAAUGGACAUAUGUUGUUCCGGCUCCUUUAUUUAAUAUUUAAAUGGGUGCCACUCUUGAGAUAUCAAUGAUUAGAGAGUUAAGUAUCUGUUAUUUAUUUUGUAGGGCAAGGAAUACCAGUUCUCAGUUUCAUAAACUUCUGGUGCAUGGAUGUUUGUUUAUUAUGUUUGUUUGAUGAAGUCUUUAAAUUUUUGUGCAGAAUAUGUAGGCAGUAUCAUGCUGUAGUCCGCCACAGAUAAAGUUAGGCUCAGUAAUCACUAGUAAUUUUUUAUCAAGGAAUUACAUCAUAUUAGAUUGUAUUUGGAUGAUAUGGAAGAGCUUGCAGUUGAUUACUUAAAGUUUGAAUUGAUGGGUAAUAGUGGCAUAUGAUUCAAUGGCUUGUUAGGUUUAGUCAGUGAAUUUUCACGGCUGUGCUUUAUUUUAAAGCCAAUUUGUGGUGCUUUGCUGUCAUAGUUUUAAGUUUACUUACGCCAUUAAAUACGUGUCUUGUUGAAAAUGUUUGUACCAUGAACUGUUUGUGGAUCUGAAUUUCUGUGAAAAUUCUGUUGAAGUUCCAACGUGAAAAUGCUUGCAAGAGUUAACAAUUUGUGAGGCAAUUAUAUGCUUGAAUGCUUUGGAUGUGAAUUUUAUAUGCAGCACAAUAUUUUUUAAGUAAUGUCUUCUAUUUAUAGGUGGCAGCAACUUCUCAUAAACAGAUUUGUUGGAUACGAUACAAUUUUGAUGAAUAGUUUACUGCAUACUCCCGGUCAAGGUAAUAGAUAAUUCUCUUGAUGCACUGCAUAUAUAAGAAUUUUUGAGUAAUCUAAUGAUGUCAAUCAACCAUCCCACAGAAGGUAAACAACUUUUGUUCUGAUAGUCUUGCUAUCUUGAACGGAUUGUACUCUGUUGAAAAUUUGAAAUAAUUUGAGAGCUUGUUCAACGUUCCUCACUUUCCAAUUAGAGUUUCUUUAAUAGAUACAACCGGCUAAUCCAUCCUUCAUAAUUUAAACUUUCUGAUGCGUAAAUAUGGUUUCAAUAUCACUGAUAUUCCUCUUUCACAGAGCGAGAGAUCUGUUUUCAAUCUCGCAUUAGUUUCUUCAUUUAAAUAACCUGUAGAGAUACUGCUUUCUUCUAACUCAGGCAUGCUUGUCAAACUCGGGAUCCUUUGUUAUAGCAGAUGCUAAUAAUGCUGCCUUUCUCGAUACUGUGUUUCUCUAACUGUAGCUAAAAAUAUAUUUUUGGAGACAUAAUUGAAGAGUGUUUAACAGCUUCUCUACAAACCAUGUAAAAGACCGAAUCAAGUUAGAGGAAAUAACUCCUCAGACAGCUCUUCUUUGUAACCUUAAUGAGACUGCUUUCUUCUUCAUCCAUUUUUUCAGUCCCAAGGUCCUUAAUUAGAUGUUUCCCAUAAUAAUUGCUGAAGUUAGAAAAUAUACAAGUCAUCAGCUUGAAAAUAAUGAUGUUAGUGCUAUAAAGCAUUCAUGGAGUCAAUAACAGACUCUCUGCAUGGUGUUGGUCCACAUCUCUACUUUGUCUAAUUAUUAUUUCAAAUCUGGUUGCAGGGUAUCUUUAUAAUUGUCAAACAAAGGAGUUUUACAAUCUUAGCUAUGCACAGGAACCACCAGAAGGCCCUGCAAAGUUUGGAGGUGUGUUGAUUUCUGUUAUAUUUCUUCUUUCAUGGGUGCUUUUCUUGUUAUGAACUAGCUUUAUUAUUGCAUUUUAUUUUGCACUGUUUUGGCUGGCAGAUUUGGGAUCAACAUGCUUCCAUGUUAGUCAUUGUUGUUGGAAUGUGCACUUACCUGAGUCCCUGACAAUGACAUAGUGUCACAAUGUUGUUUGCGAGAGUCAGUAUUUCCCAUUCUAAUAGGGAGUUGUCAAUAUUUCAAAAUGUUAAGCACAUACUCAAUAUGAGGAUCAAGAUAAGUGGAGGAGAAAACUAAAUAACAGGCAUAUUUAUUUACUUAUUAUGGUGCUUGUUUGCCCUAGCACAUGGAAAUCAUAACUUUUCAUGAGGGUAACAACAUUGGAAUUAGUAGCCAUAGAACUCCAAAAUGGCUUAUGUAUCAUCAGCCAAUUAAUCCACAAACUAGAUUCUGAGUACCAUUGGGUCUUAUGUCUGUCUACUUUCUAUAAAACAACCAACCCCAACCAAAUCCUUCCUCGCUGGCAAAAAAGAAUUUUUUUUUUUUUUGGGGGGAAGAAAAGUAAAGUAAGAGCCUUUUGUCAUAGCAUUACGAACACAAGAGAAUCUGCUUGUAAUAAGCAGCUGUUAUCAGGACAGAAAAAGAAAGAUCAUGUGCACUUGUGAUGAUCUCUUGUGUUUUCAUAUCUUGGAAUCUUAUGAUCACCAAUUUCUCACUGCUUGUUGCAUCACCAAGCACUGCUUUGGUCCCUUUUUGUUUUUUGGUUAUGAAUACAUCUUAGUAAUUUUUAACAUAGCACGGGGUAUCUUUUUGAUCGUUUAUCUAAAGUCUGUGGACAUAAACUGUGAUCUGAUGAUUUACACUUUUCGUCCUCCCUUUUCUUUAAUUGCAGACUAUCUGGUGACCAAGUGUGGUGUGCUUAUGAUGUCACUGUUUGUAUUUUUCACAACCACAAUGUCAGUAUCAUUUACGCUGAGAGAGACACAGGCUCGCAUGUUGAAGUUCACAGGUAUGUUAUUUGAUUUUCCUAACUAGGGUGUGAAGUGGUGUUAGCACCAGUGUAUGCAUGCACCUGGUUCAUUGUUCUUUCCUUUGGUAGUUAAUUAGAGCUAGUUAUUUGCUUUGUCACCUCAAAUUCUUCUGUUGCCAGACACUUUCUAUAGUUGGUUAGGAUCUUUUGUCAUGAGUCCUGUAUUUUCUUGCUACAAAUAUGGUAUGAUUGGGGGUCUCUUAUUUUUCAUAUUAUUGCAGUGCAGCUACAACACCAUGCUCAGCAUCGGCUUCCAACAUUUCAAUUGAUCUUUGUGCAUGUAAUUGAAUCACUUGUCUUUGUACCGGUAGGCAUUCAUCAUAUCUUUGUAAUUUGCUAUUGAUGUGAAACUUAUGCUGCAAUAAAUUAUGUUUUAAAAUAUUUUUAUUAUUUUACUCCAUUUAUUUAGAUUUUAUUUUUUCUAUUUAUGUGCAUUUCGGGUCUUACUGAUGACCAGUAUGGUGGAUUUUGCAGAUAAUGAUUGGCAUUCUUUUCUUCCUGUUUGAGUUUUAUGAUGACCAGCUGUUGGCUUUCCUGGUUUUAAUUCUUGUCUGGUUGUGCGAGCUAUUUACACUGAUCAGGUAUAUCUUUCUUUCUUUGUUGAAAUGCAUUGUAAGAGAGUGCACUUGCUCUUGAUUGGUGUCUUUUUUAUUGACUAAUGAAUAGCUAUCUUUUAGGAUAAGGUUCUUUUGCCUGUAUGUGGUCUUGCACACUGGUGCUCUGAUUAAUUGCUCUGAUGUAUGUUGAGCUGGUUUCUAGGACCAGUGAAUGCCAUAGACAUAUCUCCCUGUUAGCCAGCUCUUUGGUUUAUCUAACUAGUGAUAAGAAACUAUAAUCUUAAUUAUUGUUUCUUUCUAAUAUGAUUCUUCUUAUUUCUAAGUUGCAGUGUCCGCACACCAAUAUCGAUGAAGUUCUUCCCUCGCUUCUUUUUGCUCUAUUUUCUGGUUUUUCACAUAUAUUUUUUCUCUUAUGCUUAUGGUAUGGCCCUGCACUUUUUUGACUCAUCUCAUUUAUGGCUGGAACUCUUACUUGUGUCUUAUGAUUUUAACUUAUAAUUUUUCCAGGAUUUUCGUAUAUGGCACUUGGUACGGCUGCUGCGUUUGUGCAGCACCUCAUUCUGUACUUCUGGAACCACUUUGAGGUAAUUAGUCCCUAUUAGGAUUAUCUUGUUGCGAUAUUUAGUCCUUUGAUUUGCUUGUAACUGCUUAUUGAUUGUUCAUCUCUUAGCUGAUAAUGGUUGUGCAUCAUGAAUGCAUCAAUAGCGCACUGUUCCUCAUAUCUUCUUAUCGUUGGUGUAGAUUUCACCAUCUAUUUUACUCUUUAACAGAAUGUUUCAAAACUUGAGUUUGAUUUUGUAUGCACGUUUGCUAAUGUCAUCUCAGGUACCAGCUCUACAAAGAUUCAUCCAAAAUAGGCGUACUCAGCUUCAGCAACAGCCAGACUUCCACAUUACCUCAUCUACCAUUCUCGCGUCAACAUUGCAUAUAACAAGAUUGAACACAAGGAACCCAAGUCUGCCUAAUACUGAUGCAACUUCUGGACCUGGCUUGAGACCUGGAUCCAACCAAGCAAUGCCGCCAACAAAUAGAGUGGAUGCUCCUGGACCAGAACGUUCCGAAAACAACAAUCCAGACAGGGUUGGCAACACUAUGGAGAUUCCAGGACAACCAGACCUUCAGCAACCUGAAACGGGUCCUAACCCGGGGAGCAUGAAUUCGUUUAGUUCACUGCUGUUGUGGAUCUUAGGAGGGGCUUCUUCAGAAGGCCUCAACUCAUUUCUUUCCAUGUUCAGAGAUGUUAGAGAGCAAGGGCAAGUUUUUGCCGAUUCACAAAGACAGGAAAAUGGCGGGAAUCAGCAUGUGCAGUAGUGGUGGGAGGGAUAAUUACAUUUGAAGGUGACUUUGUUUACAGCUAUGUUUCUGUAUCUAGUGUAAAAUUCUAUAUUAACGUUUUGUACAGAAAUAACAUGUAAUUAUAUAUAUAUAUUAAAUGUGAACCCCCUUUUCAUUAGCUAAAAAUGAAGCAUUCGUAUUUUGUGUUUAUUUUACCAUUGGUACCAGAAGACUCAUUCCUUGCAUGAGGAAAUUGAUUCAAGGUUUCACGGGGAUUCUUCUUAUAAUGUGCUUAUCAAUUGAUAAUCGAAAUUAGUUGGAAUCAGAACAGGAAAUAAAAAUUAUAAUAAAUUGUUUACUUUAACCUUAAAAAUCGGAAUUGAAAUGAAUUGUAUAGCUAUUGAUGUGUUUAUUUUAUCUUAGAAUUAAAAAAGAUUUUUACAAAUUAGUAACAUAAUUUUAGACGAUGAAUUUUAUUAUUUAUUAUAAUAAUUGUGAUUAUAAUUAUUACCAUUAUUUUUAUUCAAAAUAAUCAUAAUAAUAACAAUAAGUUUACAUUCUUUAAUUUAAAAAAUAUAUGGUUUUACAUAUUUUCUUCUCAUUUCCACAUUUCCUUUUAAUAAAUAAACAUCAUUAAUGAUUCUCAUUCAGGAUUCUAAUUUUUUAAUUCCACAAACAAGCACCCUCCAAGCUACCAAAUUUCAUUGAGUUGGAUGAAUUCUCGCUCGCAGUAGGCAUGCAUGCAAAAAGAAGUUCCUUGUGAACUAUGGUCUUAGGCCGUGUUUGGUUUACAGGUUGUCUUGCCACCUACUUACAUUUACAUUUGAUAUUAUAAUUUCAUUCCAUUUAUCAAUCUUAGCCCCUGCAUUUUUUUCCCUUCAAAAACCUUUUUAUUUUAACAAGGACAUACCGUGCAGAUUUAUUGAACAAGUAAUUCCAUCAACUAAUUCUUAGGUUCAAUUAAAUUUUUGAGGUAUACAGUAAAAAUGCAUGUAUCACUGUAUGUUCCAAAAAAAAUCAACAAAGCUCAAAACUACAAUUGAUAAUGAAAAAACGCACCCUGAAAAGGACUUAUAUAUUAAACUACAUUUAUAUUUAAUAAACGUAAAAAUAGGGAGCUUAAAUAAUAAUAUCCCUUAAUGUUUUUAAUUUUUACUGUCUAAUGGUAUAAUACAAUCUAUGAUUCACUAAAAUAUAUAAUUAUGAUACAUUCUAGAAUUUAAAAAAGAUUAGCUUCAAAAUAUAUUUUCACUAACAUGUGAGGAAAUGCACCUAUUUUAUAUUUUGUGGAAAGAGAAAGUUACAUUUUAUGGAAAUGAAAAAGAGCCCUACAAGCACGAGGACAACGGGGAUGUCAAAAAUAUUUGCCUGGUUCGGAUCUUAGUGAUGCGGGUUGAGUGGCUGGGUUGGACUUGAGCUUCACUUGAUAAGUUCAGUUCAAAACCCAAAUUUUUUUAUUAAAAAAAUUAUAUAUAUAUAUAAAUAAAAUUUAAAAUAAUUAUAUUUAUUUAGCUCAUUUAAUAUAUAUAUUUAAAAUUUUAAAAAUUGGAAAUUCAUAUUUUCAAGCACAAUUUCAUUGAAAUGAAAUUUAAAAAUUAUAAAUAAAUUUAUAUAUAUUAUAAAAUAUAAAAUCUUGAUUAAAAAGCCAGGAACAGACAAUAAAAAAAUAUGUCCAGACUCGAUAACAACUAUUUAUGGCAAUCAACACCGCCCGUAGUGGGUUUAUCAUUACCAAAUCCAAAUCUCCCACAAAAUUUAAUUACCAAACUUAUCCGUAACCCACUGCAAGUUUUUAUUUUUCUAAGAAAACCCACCCGCUGCGAGUUUUGACAAUUACUAAAUCUGCAAUUAUACCCAGUAGAUUUUUUGCGGGUUUUCAUAUUUAAAAUCAUAAAUAUUAAAUAUGUAAAUUUAUAAUAAUAAGCUAAAAUUCUACAUAACAUAUUCAACUCUAAAUUUAACCAAUGUAAAUUAAAAAUUAAAAUUUCAACAUCAAUCCAAUACAAAUUCUUAAAUUUAAGUACGAAAUACACAAGUUCAUAAGAAAAGCCACAAACUAAUAUCUAAAAAUAACAAUUAUCAUUUCAUAUUAUCAUUCAACACAAGCUUGAAAAGAAGAUUUUUGUUUCAUUCACCACCAUUAGCACCUCUCCAAGAUGAUUCCAAUAAUAAUAAUUAAGAUUAAUAUUUUCUAAAGAAUAAUACUUUUUAAAUGCUAAUCCGAAUAACAAAAUUAUAAUAAGGGAAAUUAUCAUUGCACCACCUUUGUUUUGCAUUAUGUUCAUCUAACUACCACAAAAUUCUAACAUGUUCUCUGCACCACAUUUCUUUUUAAAUUUACAUCAAUUAACCACUUUUACACUAACCCAUUAAAUAAUUUAAAUGAAAUGACAAUUUUAUCCCUAAAUAAAUUAAAAGACCAUUUUAUCUUAUAAUAACUUUAAAAAUAAAAAAAUAAAUUAUAACAAUACCCCUAAAUUUAAUAAAAAAAAUUCCAAAUAGAGGUGCUCGGUUGAUUUAUAUUAAAUUUAGAUUUUACAAAAUUUUAAUAAUUAUUUUAUUAAAAAAUUAUGAUUUUGUAAAAUUUUAUUAAAAUAAUUGAAUUUAUUUAUUAAAAAUAAAUCCAAAAUUUUUAAUAAUUUAGGAGAUUUUUAUUAAAUCCAAAAAUUUUGUAAUUAUUUUUAUAAUUAUAAUUUUUAUUAAAAUAAUUUUAUUAAAAAAUAAAAAUUCUAAUUUUAGGAUUUAUUUUUUAUUAAAUUUACGAGUAUUUUUAUAAUUAUAACUUUUUAUUUUCAAAGUUUUUAUAAAAUAAAAUAGUAUUUUUAUUUAUAUAGGGGUAAAAUUAUCAUUUUAUUUAAAUUAUUUAACGGUGUUAUUGCAAAAGUGACUAAUUGAUAUAAAUUUAAAAAGAAAGAUGAUGCAGAGAACAUGUUAAAAUUUUGUGGUGAUUGGAUGAAAAUAAGACAAAAAAGAGGUGGUGCAAUGAUAAUUUCCCUUAUAAUAAUAAUAGUUCAUACGUUAAGUUAAAGAAUAAUAGUCCAAAUAAAAUUAUAAGUAUAUAAUUACCCAUUCAUUAAGUUAAAGCUUAUUAGGACUUAGGUACAUUACAACCUACACACAUGUUUGCACUUUAUAUGAUUACUUUAUAUAUUUUUAGAUUUAAAUAAUUUUUAAUUAAAAAUAAAUUAAAAAUUUCUAAAAAAUUUGCGGGUUAGCAAAUACCUAUGCGAGUAUCCAAUGGAUAUUUGAUUAAUAUCAAAUUCACCCACAACUUAAUGCGCGUUUAAAUUUAUAAUAUCAAACACACUCGCAACUAGAGAUGGCAAUUUAACCCGGACCCGGCCCGGACCCGGACGAACCCGGAUAAUCCGGUACGGGUUGAACCCGUACCGGAUUAAAAAUAAAUCCGGAUCCGGAUGUGAUUUUGCCAACCCGGACGUUUCCGGGUCCGGUUCCGGGUUCGCAUAAACCCGCAUAUGCGGAACCCGGACCCGGAUGUCCUUAUUUUAAUAUUAUAUUUAAAUUAUUUUUUUUAAUAUAAAAAGGGAAAAAAGUCAGUAACCCUAGUUCACACUUUCACUUCACAGCCGCCAAUUCAUUCUUCUCCUAUCUCUUCACCUUUUCUCUUCUCUUCUCCUCUUCUCUUCAUCAAAUCAUCCUUUUCGUCUCUCUUCAGUUCUUCUCUUCAUCAAAUCGUCAUUGUCACUCGUCAUCACUUCACAUCGUUGUGUUCCCGCUCAUCAUCAUCAUCAGCCUCCGUUUGGCAGCCGUUUGUCCAUCGCGAUCUUGGUUUUGGCUGCCAUCCAUACGCCUUUUGCGAAUAACGCUCGCGGCUGUGACGCGUUCAUCAUCAUCAUAUCAUCAACAGCUGCUGUUCAUUGCUUUACUAGACACCGAUUGUUGAAGUUUGUGAACUAAAUCUGUGAAUCGCGGCUGUGAUGUGAAUUGUAGACAUGGAUUUGUAUUUUGUGAAUGUUAUAUCAUAGAUCUGUAUUUAUAAAUGGUUUAUUGCUUUGAAAUUUAAAAUCUGUAAAUUUAAAAUGGUUUAUUGCUUUGUAUUUGAUUUGGGUAGAAUCUGGUUUUGUAAAUUUGUGAAGUGAAUUUGAUUUUUUUUUUUAUUUGUAUGUGAUCCGGGUUGAAAACCCGCAAUCCGGAAACCCGGAUUAUUCCGGGUUUAACCCGUACCGGACCCGGUGUCAUAAAAUCCGGGUUUAAAUCCGGGUCCGGUACAACAUUUUAGUGUCCGGGUCCGGAACCGGGAAGGCCAAACCCGGACCCGGACCCGGACCCGGUUUUUGCCAUCCCUACUCGCAACUUAUAAAAUUAUCGGUAUCAGACAAAUUUUAGAGGACGAAUUUGGAUAAAUUUACGAAUUUAUGGGCAGCAUUACCAUCCCUAAUCAAAGCAUUCCCAUAUCCUGUCCCCGCUUGGGCUUUUGCCAUCCUUGGCAGAGCACCACAAUAAUAAUAUACUAAACCAAAAUUUUAUUUAAUACAGCAGAAAAAACGGGGGGCCAAAAUUUAAAAAAAAAAAAAAAUCCCUUGAUAAAAUUACACUAACACUGAACUGAAAAUUUAGCUGGGAGCGAAUAAUUGAGAGGGAGAGAGCGUUACAACAUUCAGAAAUGGCAGCUACCUCAUCAACAGCAACGACGCACUUGAUUGUCGGCUCUACCUCUCGUCUACAUACCACCAGAACGACCAAAUUCUUUCAAAACGGGGUCGUUUUGACUCAGAAAAAGACUCUCUCACUGAGAAGAAGAAGAAGUGCGAGUAUUCCUCCAACUGCCGUUUUACCUUUUGACCUCUCUCCUCCGCCAAUCGAUCACGACCUUCUUGUAAGAACUUCCAUUAAAAUAAGUUGAAUAAAUUAAAAACAAAAACAGGUUAAUUAAAAUAAUAAACAGCAAAAAAUUUUUUUUUUUUAUUAUUAAACUAUAUUUUGCAGGAAACUGUGAAGAGUGAAGGGGCGAAGAUUUCAGGAGAAGGAAUAGUUGAAACGUUUGGUAAUGAUGGUGAAGCGCUAGAUGCUGCUGAUAAUGGUGUUGCUGUGAGUAUUCUGUUUCCUUUUUAUGAGAAUUAAUUUAAUUUAACAAAACAUUGGAUGCACAUACUAUUAGUACUAAGUUUAAUAAUAUGAUAUUGAUGUGGCAAUAUCAUACUAUCACUCAUCAAAUUGUAUUAGAUUGUGUCGAUUUAUAUGCAUGUGAUUAUUAUUCAUGAGGUUUUGGUUUGUUUUGUUGCUUUGUGUUGUCUGGCUUAGGCUGUGGACCUUUCACAUUUUGGAAGGAUAAGAGGUACGCUCUGAUUGCUUACAUGAGUCUUUUGUGGAUCGUUGUUUUGUGCGAGUGAUGCUUUAAUGAUUGUUCUACUUUUGUAAACUGUUGGGGUUUGAUUAUCAUGAAGUGAGUGGAGAUGACCGUAUUCAGUUUCUUCACAACCAAAGCACUGCAAAUUUUGAAAUUCUUCGUGAAGGACAGGCAAGUUUUGAGAGGUUGUGGGUUUUUUGUCUGGUGCUGUUCUAAGAAGUUAGCGCAAACUUCUUCAGUUUUAUUUUUGUUUGAUGCAGUCAUUUGGGAUUAAUUGAUGGGAUUUGUUGGAUUGAUAUCCUUAGGGAUGUGACACUGUCUUUGUUACACCAACAGCGCGGACAAUAGAUAUUGCACAUGCUUGGAUAAUGGUAAUCUAUUUCUUCAUGUUUCUUCCUUCAUAGUUUGUUUAUAAGCAUGUAAUAAAUGCAAAUUAUCUUGUCAACUUGUUAAUCAUUUUUCCAUAUGCACAGAAAAAUGCUGUUAUACUGGUGGUCUCGCCCUUGACCUGUAGUAGCAUAACUGAAAUGCUAAACAAGUAUGUAUAUCUGUCUUGGAGAUUGUCUUAUUAACUUUAUGCUUGUAGAUAGUGUGUCUUAGUUUUCCAGCAUUGCCAUUGUUGUGUAGAAUGAUUUUAGUCUCACACUUGAACAAUUUUGAUCCUGUAUAAUUGCUCACCUCAGUGUACUUCAUUCCAGUUUACUUAUAGAACACAAACUUGGAGAGAAUGGGCUUAUGAACAAUCCUCAUCUUUCUUUUUUGCAUGACCUGUCUUGCUCUAGUGUAUAUGGACAUGGCCUAGACAGACUUAGCUUGAGCCAAUGCAAGCAAGAAUAAUUUGUUUGCCUGUCUUGUGUUUUGAAAUUUGUGCCGAGUCCUACACUUAUCCAAAGAAAAAAUAGAAAGCUCCCCUCCUUAUUAUGCAUUUUUUGCACUCUGUUCUAGGUAUGUAUUUUUCGCUGACAAGGUAGAAAUUCAAGAUAUCACUAAACAAACAUGCUUAUUCGUUGUAGUGGGACCUAAAAGCAACCAAGUAUGUCUAUUUCUUUUAAAUUGUUUACUCAUUUCUGGAGUUAUUAUUGAGCUUUUUGGAAGUUGAAUUUGAUAUUGUUGAUGAUUGUAUUAGUGACAUGCAAACAGGUCAUGCGCGAUUUGAAUCUUGGUGAUCUUGUUGGAGAGGCAUAUGGAACACAUCGGCAUUAUAGUGUAAGAUAGAUUUUUUUUCUCAGUCGAUCUUUGAAAUACAAGAGACUUAGAUUUUUUUCUGAAUAGAUCUUUAUAAUACAAGAUAAUUUCUUUAUAUUGUAUCUUUAUCCUCUAUGACACGAAUUCAACUUGAUUAAAUUUUUAAAUGAUAGGUUGGAAAAAUGAGAAUAUUUUUAUUUUUGUAUUUAAUGUUUGCCUGAUUUCUCUUCAUAGAUCCAUUACUUUGCUUUAUACUUGGUUAGUUAUGACUAUAACAUGAACUGGAUGUAUAUUUAGUUUCCAACCUUUUUCUCUUGAUGAACUUUGGAUUUGAUUAAGUAAAUCUUAGGAACUUCUUUUAAAAUUAUGAGACAGCUCAAUUUGCUAAAGUUCUUUUGUCGCUGUCAAAGCACAAAAAGAAUGAUAAUCUAUGCAUUCUACAAAUGACAUGUUGGCUGAAUGGUAAUGCUUAAUUUGCCCUGUUUGUUUUGAUGUGAGUUCACAUACUUCUUUGUAAAUUGCCUAUUAAGAUAUGAUAGUGAAGGGAGAUGGAAAACUGAUUAUCUGUAGUACAAUUCAUGCUUUUUCCAGGUCAAAAUGAAUUUUCUUAUUAUUUCCUGAACUCUUGCAUUUCUUCCUGAUUCUUUUCCUAGAUAAAUGUCUUCACAGCAAAGUAGUGGAGGUAGUUAUCCUGAUCUGGAGCAAGUUAUCCUGAUGAGGGGGCAAGUGCCCUUACUUAAAAUUUACUUUUCAGUAUUAAUUCAGAAUGUAUGAAAAUAUUUGGAUUACUUUUUUUAUUGUUUGUGUUAAUUGACCUUAGUGAGAUGGAAUAGGAUCAAUCCAAGUUCUAGAAACAUAGAUUCAUGUCAACUACCAAAUAGAUUUGGGCGCCAAUUCAAAAUAGUGGGUUUAGGAGUGGGCUUUCUUCUGAAAUAUUAAAAGAUCAGUGUGGUUGGUUCAAAACUUAGGAAAGUAAUAAUGUCAAAUUAAUGUUAUUUGUUAAAUACUCAAAUUGCAAAAUAUAAUUCAAUACUUUUUUCUUCAGUCCUCAGUAAUAAUUUUUAGAGGUUCUUUAUUUAUUUAUUGACAUAAAAGAUUUGGAUUAUCUCUCCUUGAUGCACCACGACAAAAUCUUAUACUCGUCCUCUGUUUGCAGCAUUAUUCCAUGUCCUUAUGUUUGAACCACCUUUCCCAUUGCAUGAUUCAGAAGUUCAUAUCUACAAUAAAUGUAGCUUUUUACUAUAUGUACGUACUCAUUACGAGGCCGUUAUUGUUUUAUCUGGUUCCUUCAGCUUGGACAGAACAUUGGAGAAGCAGUGAAGAAGUAAUGGUCAAUUCUCGUAUAAAAUCUAGAUGAUGAUGAAGUCUAUUCCGGGAAUCAAACCUAGUACUUUUUGUUUUAUGAAAAGCAAUAAAUAAAAGCCUAUCGAUUUUCAGGUGAAUGGCAUGCCGAUAACUGUUGGUGUGGGAAAUGUCAUUUCGGAAGAAGGAUUUUCAUUGUUGAUGUCACCAGCUGCUGCUGGAUCAGUUUGGGAAACCCUUCUAUCUCAAGGUGCUGUUCCAAUGGGUUCUAAUGCCUGGGAAAAACUAAGAAUAAUUAAAGGUGAUUAAUCCCUGCAUGCUUGGUUAGGCUUUUAAGUGAAUAGAUUUGAUUCUCUCUCUCUUUCUUCUUUCAAACUUUCCGCUAAUUUCAUUUUGCUCCUAUCCUUGUCAAUGAUGGGUAUUUUGCUUUGUUACAAAUUAUAUCAGUGUAAAGAAUGUAAAUUUCACAUUUUUUGUGAGGGAUUUGUUGAUCACUUUGAUGAGUACCUUAUAAAAUAUGGCAAAAUGGAUAAUCAGUUCCAUUAACAUUAUAGUUGCCUUGGCCCAGAGGAAAUAUAAACUUUAAUGAUGUAAAGCUUGUUUUUGGGUUUAAUGGUCAUAUGUGCUUCUUUUACCUGUUGCAGAUGUUAUCAGACUCCAUAACCACUGCUUGGUUUUGCAGGACGGCCAGCACCAGGAAAGGAGCUUACUAAUGAAUUCAAUGUUCUGGAGGCCGGUCUCUGGAACUCAAUUUCUUUGGACAAGGGUAGCUAACCUUUCCCUACUGGAGUCUUCAUAGAAAGGUUGAAUGAAGGUUGAUGUAAGUGUUUUCUUCUCAGGCUGUUAUAAGGGACAAGAGACCAUCUCUAGGCUCAUAACAUAUGAUGGACUUAAGCAGAGACUAUGGGGAAUUUGUCUGUCAGCACCAGCAGAACCUGGCAGCCCGAUAAUAGUUGAUGGGAAAAAGGUAUGCGUCAUUUUUUUGCUCAAUAUUCUUUUGACAAGAUAAAUAUCAAAUUAAAAUUAGUGGGUGAAUAACUUGUACCACAACUGCUCUGUAGUUUAGGUAUUAAUUCUGUUUUCUGGAAUUUGGAACCUCGUCACUUGAAGCCUAAUGUAUUUUUGAACUUUGUCAAGGUGGGAAAACUGACAAGCUAUACACUCGGAAGAAAGGAAUCUGAUCACUUUGGUUUGGGAUAUAUCAAGAGGAAAGAUGCUUUAGGUGGAGACACUGUAACUGUUGGAGACAACAUUGUUGGGACUGUAGUUGAAGUUCCUUUUCUUGCUCGGCAGUCUCCACCAUUACUGUCAAAGAGCUCAAGUUCUUGACUUUGAUGGUCAUAUAUAGCACUGUAAGCAAAUAUACUUACUGAUUCUGAUAUGCCAUGCAUGUAAAUGUAACCUGUUUGCAAAGAAGGCACAUUAUAUUAUCUUCCACAGCAUGCAUGUUAGAAGUCUAAAGAAUUGGUGUAUACUUGAGAUUAGGAGUGGGGAAAACCGAAUUGGAAUCGAAAAAAAUUCGGUUCGGGUCGGUUUUUUUCGGUUUUGGUUCGGUUUUAUUUAAACAAAAAAUUCGGAUUUAUAAAUACCGAACCACUCAGUUCGGUUUUCGGAUAAAAAAUUAUAAAAUCCGAACCGAACCGAAUUUUAGGUAUUUUCGUAAUUUCACUAGAACAUAUAUAUACACAAGUUAAACAUUUGCAGUUUGCACCACUCUCUCUCUCUCACUUUCAGCUGCAGCACAACUGUUUGUCCACGACCCAAACCCUAACUCUAGGGGUGGGCAUCGGUUUGGUUCGGUUCGGUUUCGGGAUAAAUUUUCAGUUUUGGAUCAGUUCGGGUUCGAAAAUUAAGAAAACCGUUGGGUUUUUUUGAAAAUAAAAUCCGAACCAAAAUCGAUAGGUCGAUUUCGAUUCGGUUUUGGUUCGAUUUCAGUUUUAUUUAAACAAUCGGUUUUUCAAUUCAUCUUAACAGUUUGGUUUUCGGUUCGAUUUUUCAGAUCAUUUUCUAUUUCAAACCAUGUACAAUAAUUUCCUCAUUUUCAAUAACUAUAUAAUAUAUUCAGAGCAUGUACAAUUUACGAUUUCAUCAAUAGUUACACUUCGCUUUUUUUCCUCUAGGUAGUUUUGAAAAUUAUUACCAAACGUCUAAUCUUAAGCGUCUCCUUUUUCAUUCUCAACACCCUCAUCAAAAUCAUCCUUCAUAAUCUCCUCUACAAUGUUGUUAUUUUCUUCCAUCCUGCACACAAGGCCUACUAUAAUCAAUGUAUAAUCAAACAAAAAUAAAAUAAUUUACAAAUUUGUAUUUUAAAAAAAAAAAGGCAAGAAUUUUGGACUAAAAUGAAAUUUUUUUAUAAUUAUAGUUACUGUUUUUAAUAUCAAAAGUUUUGGUAAAAAAUGUAAAUAAAAUGAAAUAAGUAUUUGUGCUGUAAUAUAAAUUAACAAAAUAUUAGGGACUGAAAUGAUAUUUUAUCUUGUUGACCUUCGGUCGAGGGCUAUUAUGAAAAGUUAGCAAACAAAUCAAAUCAUAAUAAAAUUUCUAUAUGUAAACAUAUCCUAAAUAUUGGGCCAUACUAAAAUUUUAUAAAGCAAAGGGAUCUAAACGAUAUUAUCCCUCCAUCAUCUUCAACAUUUCGUGAUUUUUUGAGUCUUCACCCAGCACUGCUAGGAGCACAAUAUCCAAACAGAAAAAUUGAAAAAAAUACAAUAACAUACUCAUAUCCAGACAAAGUUAAUAAAACUAAAUAAUAUUAAUAAUUUAAACAAACAUGAAAUAAGAGCAAAUCAAAGAGCCAUUUAAAAAAAAAAAAAACUGAGCAAGUUAGUCACGAAUGAAAACAAACCCAUUAUCUGAUUGGUUAGCUAGCGACGGAGUAAAGAAUGAAACGCAGUGGAAGGUCGACAACAAGGAGAACGAGCAAAGGCAGAUGCGAGUUAGGGUUUUGGUCUUGGGUAAGCAGUUGUGCUGCAGCUGAAAGUGAGAGAGAGAGUGGUGCAAACUGCAAAUGUUUAACUUGUGUAUAUAUAUGUUCUAGCGAAAUUACGAAAAUGCCUUAAAUUCGUUUGGCUAGGAUUUUAUAAUUUUUUAUCCGAAAAUCAAACCAAACUGAAUCACUCGGUUUGGUAUUUAUAAAUCCAGAUUUUUUGUUUAAAAAAACCGAACCGAAAAAAAAAAAAAAAAAAACCGACUGAACUGAAUUUUUUUUUUGUUCUGGAUCGGUUUUGCCCACCCCUACCUAACUCGCAUCUGCCUUUGCCCGUUCUCCUUUGCUGCCAAUAGGGGUGGGCGCGGUUCGGUUCGGUUUGGUUUUUUACUAAAUUUUUCAUAAUCGUUCGAUUACGAUUAUUUUAAAAUCAUAAUCGCGAUUAAUCAAAUUACUGAAAUAAUCAAAUGCUCGAUUAAUUGAAAUAAUUCGAUUCGAUUCGGUUCGAUUAUUUUGAUUAUGGGCCUAUUUUGAACUUUUUUUAAAUUUAAAACCUUAAAUUAAUAAAUCUACCACAAACAUAAAAAGUUAACAAACAAAAAAUCAAAACAUGUCUCAAAAUAUGUUCAAGAACACAUAACAUGAGACAAAAUAACUUCUUCUUUUUUCGAGAAACCUAAGAUAUCAAUGACAAUAUUUUUUCGAGAAGCAGCUGCCUUGACCAGAAAAAAAAAAGGUUAGAUCUUCUUUUUCUCCAUUUAAUUUUUUUAACUUAUCAACUAAGACAGAAAGAUAAGUCGCACAAUUAUGAAACGUAUUCAUAUUAGAAAAUAUACAGAAUGACACAAAUUUGUUAGGCUAUUUAUGUUGGAAAUAUGAGACAAAAUAACUUAUUUGAAAGAUAGCUCAGCCAGUACAACAACACCCAUCAAAAUAAAAUAAAAUGUUUUUAGCUAACAUGAUUAAUAGCCGAAUUCUCAAUUAAAUAAUAUCUAAUUGAAAAUUUAUCAAAAUACCAAUACAAUUAUAGAUAAUUAUUGAUUGCUGCUACUUCAUCUACAAUUUACAAAAAGUUUCAAAACAAUUACUUUAGAUGACUGGUGCAGCCAAAACUUCCAAGCAGGACCUCAACUAAGGUUCGACAGAAAGAAGGAUGCCUCAAUUUGUGCAAGAUCCCUUUACCAAAACAUACCUCAAUUUGUGUAAGAAAGAAAGAUGCACUGAUUGACACUCAACAACAGCAACACAAUAUUCACAAAAUCUCUUCCAAUAAUGCUCCAAGAUGAUUUAUCUUCUCAUCUCAUGGUUGCACGACUUGAUUGGUCGUUUCGCGACAUCAACUAAUACCAGAAAUUCACAUAACAGUUCAGUAUAGAAAGGCACAGAAAUUACCAGAAAUUCACAAACCCGAUAACUGAGACCUAGAAAAGAGACUCACCAUAGAGUGGCUGCAGUUGGAUUCACUUCACUAACGGAUUUGAAUCUGACCAUAAGGAAGCAAAUCUAACGGUCGCGGAUAACUGGAUGGUUUUGGUUUGGACGAUUAUUUUGAGUUCAGUUCCAGUUCCAGUUCGAGCUUGCAGCCGCAGCGACGAGCUUGCAGCGGCGGCGGCGAGCAGAGGGGACAAAAGAAGACAGAAGUGUGGCUGAAGGUCACGACUCGAGUCUGUGGCUGAAGGUCACGACUCAUGAGUUCGAUUUUUGCUUUUGGCUGAAGGUCACGACGAGCAGCGGCCAGCGGGAACAGAAGAAGUCAUGACGAGAUUUUAGGCUUUUAGGUUUUAGCUUUAGCUUUCAAAACAAUCGGUUUAUUUGAGAUUUUGGUUCGGUUUUCGAUUUUUUUUUUAAACCAAAAACCGAACCGAUUGAUUUUACUAUUUUUUUAUAUUACUAUUUCGGUUUUUUGGAGGUAAAAAAACCGCACAAAAAUUGAACCGAACCGAUCGAUUCGGUUUGAUUUUUAAUUAAUCAGCUUUUUUUGCCCACCCCUAGCUGCCAACCUUCCACUAUUUCAUUCCUUACUCCGUCGCUAGCUAGCCAGUUAGGUAAUGGGUUUGUUUUCAUUCGUGACUAACUUGCUCAGUUUUUUGUUUUUGACAUGGCUCUUUGAUCUGCUCUUAUUUCAUGUUUGUUUAAGUUAUUAUUAUUAUUAUUAUUUAGUUUUAUUAGCUUUGCUUGGAUAUGAGUAUUUUAUUGUAUUUUUUCAAUUUUUCCGUUUGGAUAAUGUGCUCCUGGCAGUGCUGGGUGAGGACUCAGAAAGUUACGAAAUGUUGAAGAUGAUGGAGGGAUAAUAUUGUUUAGAUCCCUUUUUUAUAGAAUUUUAGUAUGGCUCAAUAUUUAGGAUAUGUUUGCAUAUAAGAAUUCUAUUGUGAUUUGAUUUGUUUGCUAACUUUUCAUAAUAGUCCUUGACCGAAUGUCAUUUCAGUCCCUAUUGUUUUGCUAAUUUUUAUUAUGGCACAAAUACUUAUUUUAUUUUAUUUAUAUUUUUUGCCAAAACUUUUUAUAUUAAAAACAGUAACUAAAUUCUUCAUUUUAGUCCAAAAUUCUUGCCUUUUCUUAAAUAUAAAUUUGUAAAUUAUUUUAUUUUUGUUUGAUUAUAGUAGACCUUGUGUGCAGGAUGGAAGAAAAUAACAAUGUUGUAGAGGAGAUUAUGGAGGAUGAUUUUGAUGAGGGUUUUGAGAAUGAAAAAGGAGGCAGACGCUUAAGAUCAAACGUUUGGCAAUCAUUUUCAAAGCUACCUGGAGGAAAAAAAGCGAAGUGUAACUAUUGAUGAAAUCGUAGAUUGUACAUGCUCUGAAUAUAUAAUAUAGUUAUUGAAAAUGAGGAAAUUAUUGUACAUGAUUUGAAAUAGAAAAUGAUUCGAAAAAUCAAACCGAAAACCAAAUCGUUAAGAUGAAUCGAAAAAUCGAUUGCUUAAAUAAAACCGUUAAGAAAAUUGAAACCGAACUGAAAUCGACCUAUUGGUUUUGGUUUGGAUUUUAUUUUCAAAAAAACUGAAUGGUUUUUUUAAUUUUUGAACCCGAACUGAUCCGAAACCGCAAAUUUAUUUCGAAACCAAACUGAGGCCCACCCCUACUUGAGAUUGCAACUGUCUUCAACUUGAUUUUCAAGAUUAUUUAAGAGACAGUUUUAUGCCUCUCUGUUGUCUAGGUUGAAAGUCGAGGAGUGAAAAGGAGAUUAUAUACCAUCAUCAUUCUAUUAGCAUUAGUAAUAUGUUGGGGGAUAGGUUCGGCGGCUAUUCCAGUCUCCUAAGUACUCUCAAUCUAUCCCUUCGUUGUUUUGCAAUCUUAGGGUUGAUGAACUUUCAAUGACUAAGAUUAUAAAUAUCAUGUUUGCAUUAAUAAUGAGUCAGGCCCUGUUUGGGGGAAAUAUACAUUUAGGUAGGGGUGUUCGCGGAUCAGAUUUUACGGAUUAGACAUCAAUCCAUAUCCAAUCCACAAUUUUACGGAUUAUAAUUUUCAAUCCAAUCCAAUCCAAUCCAAUCCACGAAUUGAUUAAACUCAAUCCAAAUCCAAUCCAUACAUGUGCGGAUCGGAUGCGGAUUUGACUCAAUCCAUAUCCAAUCCAUACGUCUGCAGAUCGGAUGCGGAUUUAACUUAAUCCAUAUCUCAUCCACUAUUUUGCGCAUUAGUUUCCGAAUUAAAAAUUUUUAGUUCUCCCCAAUCCAUGAACUAAUGAAAUUAAAAAAAAAUCUUAUAUAAAAAUAAUUUUACUACCAAUUAAAUUUAAAAUUGAAUAAAAUUUAAACAAAUUAAUUGUUUAAAUAAAACUAAAAUAAUACAUUCAAAGUUUCAAAAUAUAGCAAAUCGAGAUUAAUUGUUCAAAUAAAGCUACAAUAAUAUGUUUAAAGUUUCAAAAUAUAACACACUAAGAUUAAUUGUUCAAAUAAAGUUACAAUAAUACAUUAAUAUAACACCGAAAUUAAUUGUUUAAAUAAAGUCACAAUUAAUUGAAAUGGCGAAGUUUCUGAAACCAUACAUAGUCUGAUCCUUCACUAGGGCUAUUGCACUUGUCGAAAAGUGGUGAUUACGAAGCUGUCAACAAUGGGAAUCAGGAGAAGUACGGGUGGCGAUCUUGAAGGUUGUGAUAGUGCAAUUGUUUGGCUGGAACCAGUGAUUGUGAAGUGGCUCGAUGGACUCGGGGAAGAAGAUGGCUUGCUCUCGCUGGAAUCACGCGGCUGAAGUCCUUCAAACCGGUGUCGAGAGUGUAUUGAACUAGUAUUGGGUGUUUCUAGUGCGUGUGACGGCGGGGAAGCUUAGGGUUUUUUGUUGGUGACUUGGCAUUAUGUUACUUUGAUUUCGGGUGACUUUGCAAAUUGUUGGUAAUUUGGCGUUAUGUUACUUUGCUUUUGCUAGUGCGUGUGACUUUGCUUUUAUUUUGUUUUACAAUUUUUACAAGUUAUAUUUGUAUAUUUGAUUAUUUAAUUAUUUUUUAUUUAAUAUUAUUAUUGGGUAAUGGCUAAGAUAUGUUAUAGUGCUUAUGUAACUAUAUAAUGUCACAUUUAUAAUAUUCUUUAAUUAAAUUUAUAAUAAUUUUUUAACUAAAUAAAAAAAAACAUAUAUAUAUAUAUAUAUAUAUAUAUAUUUUUUUUUUUUUUUUUUGCGGAUUCACUUAUUUUUACAGAUUUACAGAAGUAAAUCCAUAUCUAAUCCAUCGAUUGCGGAUUUUUAAAUUUUCAAUCCAUAUCCAAUCCACAGAUCCACGGAUCGGAUUUAUACGGAUCGAAUUUUCACGGAUCAGACAGAUUGAGCGGAUCGAAUUGAAUUCUGAACACCCCUACAUUUAGGAAUUAUGAAUGCUAAGUGUAAUCUCAGCUGUUGAAAGUGUGUGAAUCUAGUGGUUUAUCAUUUAUUAGGUAGCGAGUAUUUAUAAAUAUUUAUAAAUUUACAGUCUCUGAUGUUAAUCCCCACCCCCCUCCCCCCAAAAACCGAGAAAAAAAAAAAUGUCUGUAGAAGAACAUGAAUGAAGGUUCUUAAAGUUUAAAAAAUAAUUUCUGCCGAUUCUUUUCUUAAUCGUUUUAGCUUAAACAUCUCUCACAAAUUAUUAGCCGCCAGGGACCUAUCUGAGUGUUCAACAGUAUUAUCUGAGCCACGUUUUUGACUUGAGAAUACUUUAACUAACUAUAAAUAUCACAUUUGAAAGCAGCUUGUUGCUUAAUUGGUUUCACGAUCGUUAAACCUAUACAAGAUUUGAGGUCUAUAUUGAUAUAACUUUGUGUUGGAAAAAAUAGAAAGUCGUCAUUGAUGAUUGUAAAAUAUCAUGUGGGUUGAUGUGACAUUCAUCGAGAUGGAAAGACAUUUUUAGUUUUUAACUUCAGAUUCUACAAACAUACGCACCGACAAAACCUUGAUCGUUAUCUUACAUGCAAAAGAGUACCUUAUAGCGGGGGAAAUCUGUAGUGCAAUUGUGGUAUCGUGCCAUAGUUGCAUUCAACCGUUGGAUGUCAGUGGAUCCCACCAAUCCAAGUGCAUCCAACGGCUGGAUGCAACUGUGGCACGGUACCACAGUUGCACCGUAGGUUGAUCCCUUAUAGCGAUCUCAUCUACAAUAAUAUUACGAGUAGUGUUACAUAUUUUAUUUUUAUUUUUAAUUUUAAUAUGUUAUUUUAAAUGAUGUGUCAUUCAUCGUUAGUUGGUGAAAUAGUAUAAUUAAUUUACUUGAAUCUUAUAAAAAAAUUAUCAUCCACUCAAUAAAUGACAUAUCAUUUGGCAUGAAAUUUAGGAAUAAAAAAAUUUAAAAUAUAUAUCAUUAUUUUAUUAUUGUCUCACUAUAGAAAAAAUAGGGUUCACUUGAGAAAGAUAUUGAAACUGGAAAAUGCUAGCAGCUGGCUCGAAAACAAAAUAAAAUGAGACAAAAAGGGAAAAAUAAAUAAAUCAUAAGCUCCCUUUGAGAAGAUAUGGAGCGAUGAAGAUGAAGUUGCUCUUCUACCAAGGAAGAAUUCAACUCAUCAAAGAGAAAGAAACACUGAUUAUAAAAUUUUAUAAUUUUGUAACCAACGAACAAAAUAAAAUUGAAAAUUCUUGAAAAUUAACAUUUGGCAGUAUUCCCUUCUUUGGAAUUGUACCUUGCUCAAAACAACUUCAUCUUCGUCACUCCAUUCUUCUCAAACUGAGAAUAUAACUUUUUGGACUCAUGUUGAACGGUGUUUGAGCCAACAACAUGCCUGUGUUAUGAGCUUAUAACAGCCGGACAAGAAAUUAAACACUUAGAUCAACCUCCUGCAUUUCUAUGAAGAGUUUGAUGGUAAAAAGUUAGCUACCCUUGUUCAAAGAAAUUGAAUUCAUUAAUUAUCUCCAUUGCUGGUACCAGCCGCCAUGCAGAAGCCAAGCAGUGGUGUUAUCAUAAAAGACUUAGGAAUUAUAGCCUGAAAUGGACUAUAAAAACAGAUAAUCAUUGCAUUUUUACUAGUACAACAUUCUUCGAAAACAACAUGAACUUUCUACAAAAUAUCAACAUGAACUUUUUAUUUUAUGAAAUAUCAACUUUCUACAAAAUAAUGAAAACAUAUUGUUAUGGCCACCAAUCUUUUUCAUCUUUCUUUAAAAAUUUUUAUUAUAAAAUAAAAUAAAAUAAAAAUAAGGAAAUUUAUAAAUAAUAACAAAAAUAUUUGAGUGAGAAAAGUACUUAUUUAUUGUCAUGUGUAUAUGUAUGCUAUCAAUCAAUCGAUGACACAUAUGAUACCAUGUUAGUUGUCAUGCAAACAAAAUCUCCCAAAUCAGUAACAUAACUUUAUUAUCUAUCUACUGCGGAAUAAUUCUAUAACAUUUAUAAAUAAAUUUUAAUUAUGUAACACUCUAUAAGUUUAAUACUACUCAAAUUUAUUGAAUUUUAAUUAAAAAUGAAACUAUCAUGCUUUGAUUAUAUAAUUAUAAGUAGAGAAAUUAUCAACCAUAUACCCUUAAAUGACACUCGUAUCAAACGUGUGUGAACACUUUUCAAGUGUAUCACUCGUAUAUCCUAAGUUGACAAAAUUAAAAAAAAUGACAUGUCAUCCCAUUUACCUAGUAACAAAUUACAUGUCAUAUGAUAUAUAUUGAUAAAAAUGAUAUGUCAUCCUAUUUAUCGGAUAAUUGUUAAUAAUUGCUAAAAAAAACUACUUUACAACCAAAUCUACUCCUCCAAAAUUUAACCUAAAUUUUUGGAGAUCUACUCCUCCAAGCUCCAAUUGAAAAUUUUUAUGGUAUAAUAUGUAUAAUUGUAAAUAAUAUGUUGUUAAUAAUUUUUUUAUGGUAUAAUAUGGAUUUUUUUUAUGAAUAAUUGUUAAUAAUAUGUACCAUUAAUAAUUUAUUUUUUAAUUAAAAAAAUGUAUUGUUAAUAAAAAAAAAAUUGUGUAUUGAAAAUUUACUUUAAUUUUUGGGGUAAAUUUAUCUUUUUACCUCAUUUUGAGUUUCAAGGGCAAAAUAGUCAAUUUGCCACAAUUAUGUUAACUUUCUAAUGGAAGUUAACGGAUUGGUGGACGGCAGAGGUGUUUUGUCAACUUAGGGUAUACGAGUGAUACACUUGAAAAGUGUUCACACACGUUUGAUACGGGUGUCAUUUAAGGGUAUAUGACUGAUAAUUUCCCUUAUAAGUAAAACACCAUGUUGAACGAAUAUAAUAUAAUAUUACCACAUAAAUAUCUUUUUAAAUGAUUAUGUACAAAUGAAUACAGUUGGGCCACUAUAGGCAAAGGACACAAUUGUCCAAAAAGAUGUAUGUUUGACUAAUAUAAAAAUAAGAGUGUCUUUGUGAUUAUUUUACCAAACCACAAGUGUGUCAAUGUCCUCUCCCUUAAUGUGAAAAUACAAUGUGAAUAAGACUUGAAUUUGUAAUUUACAAUGUUGUUCGACCACAAGGGGCGGCAAAUUGUCUUUCAACCUCUUUGUUUAGCUAACUAUCCGAGCAGACUGAGCUACACUCAUAUGGGAGACAAGAGCUAAAGAUUCCUCUACCUUUUAUCAUCAUCAUCAUUAUUAUCAAAUUAAAAAUUAAAAAUUAAAAAUAAUGUUGUAUAGACAUUCUGAUAAUAAAACUUCUAAUAUAAAGUUCAGUUUAAUCAAAUUAUUAAUGGCUAAUAAUGAUUGUAAUUAACUUUUUUUAAAAAAAUUUAAUCUUAUAACUAAUUGCAAAAGAUGAAAAAAUUAAUACAACACAAAAGAUUAAAUAAAGUAAUUAAUUUCACAUAAGUUUGUAUGAAUUAAUUUGCAUAAGAAUUAUUCAUGAGUAUUAUUUAAAAAAUAAAGUAUUAAAUGCUUUAUAUUUUUCUAAUCUACAAUUUUUUUGGAGGGUAUCCAUAAAACAUAUUAAUAUUAGUUGAAAUUUUUUUUUAUACUUUUUAAGUAAAGCAUUAUUACAUUAUGCAAUAUAUGCAUGUGUAUGUAUGUAUAUGUGUCUGCGUGUGUAAUUUUAUUUUAUACAUAAAGUUAUUCUCAUUAGUAUAGAAGUUAUAUUAUUUUUAAAAGUAAAAUAUCAUUAAUUUAUAACAUGAUAUUAAGAAAAUAAUAUUAAUUUAUAAUUUAUUUUAUUUAUUUAAAUUUAAAUAUUUUCUUUUAUGUAUAUAGUUAUAUAAGUAUAUUUUCCAUGAAUUAAAAAAGUAAAAAAAUAAAAAAAAUAUUUUCUCGUAAAGUUGAGGGUGUAUUUGAUAGUUUUCAAGGUUAAAUUGAUAAAUAUAAUAAGAUCAUUGAUCAUGAAACAACUGAUUACAAAAGAUAAAAAAAAAUUAGUACAACACAAAAGUUAAAUAAAGUAAUUAAUUUCCAUAAGAUUGUAUGAAUUAAUUUGCAUAAGAUAUUCAUGAGUACUAUUUACAAAUACCAAAUAUUAGAUUCUUUAUAUUUUCCUAAUAUACAAUUUUUUUUAUGGUAUCCAUAAAGCAUAUUAAUAUUAGUUGAAAAAAAUGUUUUGAUAUUAUUCUGAUUUAUAUGUAGUUAUUUAAGUAUAUUUUCUAUGAAAUAAAAAAGUAAAAAAUAUUUUUUUUUCUUGUAAAGUUAAGGGUGUAUUUGAUAGUUUUCAAGUUUGAAUAAAUAAAUUUGAUAUUUACUUAAAAUGAGGGUAGUUAUACGAUAAUUACUAUUAUUAUUGAUUACUUUACCUAAUUAAAAUAAGGUUAUUACUCUAAAGUAGAGCACGAAUUUUAGUUAUACAUGUAAAUUAAUAAAUAAUAAAAAAUUUAUUAUAACUUUAAUAUUAUGAUUAUAAAGGAGUGCUUUACUUUGAAGAAGUUCCACCCUGGACUCUUAAAAUAAAUGUAACCCGUGGCCAGUUAUAAAUGAAAUUAAGAAAAAAGAAGUAACAAGCGGCUCAGUAAAAUUUUGAUUUGGUAUACCAGUAGAAUAAAAAUGGGCCUACCAAACAAUUUCUACGCCUAUUUUUGUUGUCAUAGAAAGUAAAACAAGAAAGUUAAAAACAAAAAACAAUGCCAAAUAGCCCAACUUCCCAAAUUUUGCGGACACCCAUAAAGUUGGUUUUUAAGAUUAUAUCAAUUGUUGUCGGUUGAUGAGCUAUUAAAAGACAAAAUAAGAUUCUCUCUUAGUCAAAAUAUUUUUAAUUUUUUAUAAAUCUUAUGUGGCUUAUAUUUUAGUAUUAAUUUAUAUUUAAGAUUUAAUUAUCUUUAUUAUUUAAUUUAUUAAUCACUUUAAUAAAUUUACUUAAAAAAUCAGAUCAAAAGAGAUCAUGAUCUAUUAAAAAUGAUUAUUUUACUUAUUUUAAACAUAGUUGAUUAGCCGUAAAUGUUUGCUUUCAUUCGAGUGUAAAUAUUAGUGUUUAAUAGAUAAGAUUUUUCAUCUUAAUUCAAAUAAAGCAUUUUAUAUUUGGUAAAAUUCAUCUAACUAAACUAGGAUUGAGCCAUUUAGUUGGCUUCAGUAAAAACUAGUCACUGAUAUUAGUUUUUUUUUUUUAUUUCAAUUGACAACUAGCCUACACGAUAUGAUUCAUAGAACUAGUGCGAUACCCAACUAGUGUGAUACCCAACCAAUGGUGCUUUGUCUUCUUGCAUAGCUGUGGUGAGACCUAUUAUAUUUAAAAUAAAAAAAAAAUUAUAUGUAUAUAUUUUUCAUAAUAAAUUCUUGUAUAUGUUUCAUAACAAGUUAUUGCACUGUUUUAAUACCGUGAAAUAUCACUGGAUGCAUUCGAUAUCGUAGAAAAUGAAAAUUUGUGAUUACAUUGACAAAGAGACCAAAUGAGAAAAAAUGGCAAUGCAGUAAUAUCCACACUUGAAAAAAGUUAUUAUUUAUGAGAAUGAUAAUUAUUCUAAGAACCAAUUUAUUUCUUUUUUAUACUACCAAAUUAUUAUUUAAAAUGUGAAUAAAGAAGAAAAAGAAAGAUUAUUCGCUACACCGGUCGCUGAAUUCUUUACCCUCAAUUGCUUAGUUGAUGCCAGGGAGAGAAAGAGAAAGCAGUGUAUCAAGGAUUUUGUGACGCUAAGGCUGAAAGAUUAGCUAAACUUGUUUUCUAUCCAGGAGUUCAUGUCUUCCCACAAGGGUAAAAUUGCCUUGGUAAUCAUUUAACAAUUAAGUACAGACAAAAUUUUUCAAUCUUAAUGCAAAUAAAUUGAUCAAUCGCCAGAAACAACGAUUAGUAAUUAACAUUAUCAUUAACCCAUGAGUGAAUGUAUCAUUCAGCUUGUUAAGUAUUUUCCUCCAUGAGAAAAUUUUUGCUCUAUACAACAAUUCUUUGAGCAAAGUAUGUAUUUACUAAAAUUUUGUUCAUACAAUUAUUUGAGCACAGUAAAUAUCUACCAAUACCAGCUGAAGCACAUUAUUGUCAAAUAAAACAGAGAACAGAAGAAAAAAUCAUCUAUAAUCUGAGAUAAUGAAUACAGAUGUACCAAAAUUUAGAUUACAAAAGCUCGCCCUAUUCCAGACCCAAGUAUCAACUUAUCUGUUUAAUGUUACCAUUGUUAUGUCACAAAGUUACUGAUUUCGGCAUCUAAUGCACAAAUUCUGAUUACGCAAGAUGCUACAUGUCAUGAACAAAUGUAAAUUGCAUUUAAAAAAUUAAAAAAAAAAAAACUCAACAAAAUCUCAACAGACCAUGUGUGAUUUGCUCACAUGAUUCUGUUAAUACCUAACAAAUUGGCGUUUAUCAUCUUCAUCUCUCUGCCUACCAUAAGGGUUGCUUUCACUGAAUCCAUUUCUGCUUCCUUCGACUUUACGCGUUUUCUUUCUAAACUUAGAGGCACUGCUGUCUAUGGUCAGAUUCACCUUAGGUGGUGAAGAAAAGCAAAAUGAAGCAGCGACUGCCUGCUCAAAAAUACAACAGACACACAAUUAUACCACCGUAUGUCACAAUAUCUAAUGGUUUUCAGUUGUAUAUCACCAUAUCUUAUGAUUUAAUGAGGAGAGAGAAAUGCAUCCAAUGAUUAUUUAUCAUAAAAUGCCAAGGACCUAAUUUCAAAACUUCCAAACAAACUUGAUAAUAUCACCCUAACUCAAAUUGGAGUUUCUUCCCAUUUAGAAUAAAGUACGACCACAUUCAGUUUAUUUAAUCCAUCCUCUCUUUUCCAUACACAAAAACGACUCAGUCAACCAGCAGUGCAACCGCCAACAUUGCUAGCCAUUUAACCAUUCAAGUCCAAAAUAUUCUUCUGUCACAAACUUAUUACCGCUAUUUUUCUCUGUUGUCACCAUGAGAUUAUUACACUACAAUUCUACUCCUUGUUAACAAACUAUUAUUUCAAGAUUCAAUCAUAAAUACUUGUUCCAACACAUUAUGUGGCAAAAUGCUUUAAACUAAUACUGCUUUCUGAACAGACAGGAGAACGACUAAUACCUGCAGAUCAAGGCGGUGUACAUUGAAGAUAUCCUUCAUAGAGUGUGAAUUAUAUGCUAGUAUAUAAGAUCGAUAUGCAUCUUUAGCUGACUUGUUCAAAUAAUAGUUGUUAGCAACCAACUUCUCCUGCAUAAACCCAAGCAGUCCAAGCUAAGUUGUCUCGCUAAUAACAAUCAAGGAUCAUAAACAAUGAGGAAGCCUGCUUUACCAGAUGUGACUGCACAUUAGCCAGCUUCUUUUGGUCAAAUUCAUACUCUUUAACAGGGACUUUUGCAGCCUGAAAGUGAAGAGGGAUUAUAAAGAUGUUACUUACUGUGUUCUUGUUUAUUGUAUUUGCUCAUGUUGUACUAAUGUUGAUGGCCCUCCAAAACAACCACCAACCACCCCCAACCCAAAAGAAAAAAAAAAACAACUUAUUUUUUCAUCUUGUUUCCUACUUUUUAGUGAUAGGACAUCAUGCUGCCUAAGCUUUACACUGAUCAUGACUGUUUUCAAGGUGGCACUUAGAUUAUCAGAGAUGCGUACAUAGGUUUUAGUUCUAUUCCCCCAAGUUAUAUAAUCAAAAUACUUGACCUUCAGAUAUCGAAGAAAUUGUAACUCUUCUGGAAUCAAGAAAAGUAGCGCAUUUCCUCUUGCACCUUCUCCACGGGCUGUCCGACCCACCCGAUGAAUAUAUUCCUGGAGGUAAUUCAACGCUACAUGUUAAUCAAGAUGAAUGAAAAACAAUGAAAAUGGAGCGAGAUUCACUAAAACAUUAGCAAGAAACAGUCUUUUAUACCUUGGGUUCAUCAGGAGGAUCAUACUGCACAAUCCAGUCCUACAAGGAAGUCAACAAAAUUGUUCAUAAAAACCAAUUUUGCAACAUAUAAUCAGCAGGACUCCAUGGCCCCACAAUAAGUACAGCAACAGUUCUAACCAAAGCUCUGUUUUCUUAAAUAUUGUUUCAAUAAUUUUGACAAACAGUAAAAAGAAAAGACAGCCUUCAAACUUACAGCUAUUAGAUAAUAUUUAAACUUCCACAAAAAUCGUAAAUCCCUACACCUAAUAUCAAUAUAGAAUUCUACCAUCUGGCCUUUGAGAUAGAUAACCACCUUUUCUUUGUGGGUAUGACAUUAGCUGCCAAUUUAAGAGCAUAGAAAGUGAUGACUUUUAGUUUAAAUUGUGGAAGCACUUAGGAUACCCAAAGCAAAUGCAUAUUAAUUUUGGAUAGCCAAAUUCUCACGUACAGUUCAAGGAUCAUGAUAAUAGAUGUUACCAAUUGGAGUUUAAACUAAUGCGUAUAUAGUAGGUCUUUAGAAGUGGCCGAAGUUAGGUUGCAAGGUCAAAAGUUCAUAAAAUAAUACUUUUCAAGUACAAUUUGGAAAAUCUAGAAGCCGUACAUACCAAUGUAAUUCUUUCAAUUCAAGUGUAGACUGUGUAUACAGAAUACUCAGAAGUUUUCAAGCUCUAUUUAGGACAGACUGACACAACCCUUACCCUAGCAACUUGCCAACGGAUCUUAGGUUUAAUGCUAAAGGAAUUCUAGUAGAGACAACAAGAAUAAUUAUUCUAAUUCUUGUUCCUUUUAUUUUCUGCAAAUUGUUUCAGUUACCAUCAGCCAGAUUUUACUGUAUCAGAACAAAACUAUAAUUCAGAAACCCCAACUUUCCCCUGGUGAUUAGUCCUACAAAGCACAUACCACAGCAGGAAUGUCAAGUCCACGGGCAGCUACAUCAGUACACAACAAGAUGCCCUUCUCCGCCUUGCAGAAGUCAAAGAAGGUAGUGGUUCGUUUCUGUUGCUUUUGCUUUCCAUGGAUAUCAAAGCAAUCCACCUGAAUAUAUCUGAGAAGUUCUGAAUGAAAUUUGACUGAAUUACACGAGGAGAAGAAGACCAUCACUUUCUUUGACAGAUUCCUCUUCAAGAAGGAAUAUAGAAGGAUAAAUCUCUUGGCACUGGGCACCACACAAUAGCCUUGCUGCAGGCCUUCGUUGGUGACCUAAAAAUGAUCAGCAUUUUGUUAGUUUAAUUGGUGAUAGUUGAGUGUUUAUGCAUGUGUGCAUUUGUAUUAGUGCUUGUAUUUACAGACAACAAUUCUGCUCCACAUCUACCUUAGUUCUCCCAUCAUCCACAUCAAUAUAAACUGGAGUUGUCUGAAAUGACAAGCGAGCAAGAUCCUCAACCUGCAGAUAUCAUGUAGGGGUGAAAAUUAUAACCAUGAGCCAAAAUUCAGAUAAACUACUUCAGGAUUUCAUUAAAAAAAAGUAAGAAAAUAUCUAAAAAUCUUCUCUAAAAGAUAUAUAUCAUUUUCCAGGUAGAUGAUAAACGAGCUAUAAGAAUAUUCACUAUAAAUAUGGCCAGAAACCGAAUAGUUAAUAGUAAUAAGUUUGAAAACAAACCUUCUUCGUUUGCGUAGCUGAAAAUAAAGCGGUUUGCCUAUCCUGCAUAUUAUGUAGAAACUCAAUAAGGAUAAAGCAUUGGAUAUGAUGCAACAAAAACUUAUACUCAAAAGGCAGCUAUAACAGAAAUGACCAUCAAUGAUCUCGGCAUAUUAAAGCAACAAUUGCCGACAAAACUUGAAGUUUAAGGAGGUAAAACAGAAUAGCAAGUAGUACAAGCUAUACUCAGGAAUACCCUAGAAAUAAAUCCACCGCUGAAGGCUCCAGUGCCCCAGCAUCAAGUCUGCAAGGUCAUAAAUUAAGUUAUCAAGUGAUAGAGCAUAGCUUUCAGUUGAUUAACUCUUUUGAGCCACUACUGCUUCCAAGUACCAGUUCCAACAGAAAAUCAUCACCAGAAACAAGUUAGACUCACUCUAUAACCACAUCAAAAGCCAAAGGAACUUAUUCACUGGCAAAAAACAUUAUAAGAGCAUUAAUUAAAUGACUUCACCUUCAUGUAACCAUUUCUAAAAAUGUCUUCUCAUCAUACACUAUUCAUACAUGAUUCUGGAAACAGAUUCCAGCACAAAUUUAACCAAAAGCAUAUUACAUUUCUUAAACAAUAUUCAAUUGCCAUAACCAUGUCAUAUUUGGCUAUAUUUGACAUAAUAGAACUGUCAAGAGUUAAGUACUUCUAAAUUGAACAUAUAAAUGUUUACCACUUAAUAUACCUUCUUUGGUAGAAGCUUCAUAAUUUGCCUCAUUUCUUCCUCAAAGUUUGCUUCCAAUAUUCUGUCAGCUUCAUCAAUAACAAGGCACUGCAAGUCCAAGAUUUUCUCAAGCAAAAUUUGGAGAUACAUAAUAUAAACAACAGCAUAUUUAUGCUCAAGUUAGUGAAAUAUGUUUCAGGAUAUAAAGUUGCACUCGUUAUGUUACCUUCAGAUUCUUAUAUAUAAACCCCUUGGUAUUUUGAAGAUGGUCAAGAAGCCGACCAGGGGUUGCUACUAGCAAAUUUACUCCUUUCACAAUACGUUCUGCUUCUCCUCUUCUAGCUGAACCACCAAUAACCAAGCCAACAGUCUGGGAGUGAUACUUUAGAAGGUCCUUUGCAACAGCAUGGGUCUAGCACAUUUGAAAGUUGAAUUAGUGAUGACAGUAAUAAUUAAGGUUUUAGGAGAAGAAAACAAUCUAAACAGAAAUCAGAAAUGCCUGCAUUUCUAUAUUAGUGGGCUAAAACUGUAAACGAAAAUAUAUUCUUCUACCUUUUUCUCCUUAACUAUUGUCCACUGUUUCUUUGCCUUUCGUAGAAUAGGUAUAUUACAAGUAGAUUGUAACAUAUAAGCCAUUCCUAUUCUACUUUCCACAAAAGAUGCAUUGGAAUUCGACAGUAAAUCUCACUAUUCCCACAAAAGAAACUGUUAAGUUCUCUUCUAAUGCAUCUCCAAAUAGAAUCCUAACAAUUAAAUUUAUUACUCCAGAUCUAAAAUAUUCGAACUUGCAUACUGUAAAGACAUCAUCACAGCAUUUCAACAAGCAUUAAAGAAAAUGUCUAUAAAGAAAGAAAUUUAAAGACAUAAUACCAAGAAAAUGCUAACAUUAUCAGCUGCAAAAAAUGUUACAAGGAUUUUCACCUGAAUGGCAAGCUCCCUAGUGGGGCAAAUGACAAUAACACCAGUUCCAUUCCUAGGGGCGAAUUGAGCAUUAUACAACAACUCAACUGCUGGAAUUAAAAAGGCAAGGGUUUUUCCUGAACCGGUCCUGGCAGCUCCAAGUACAUCUUUGCCAACCAUAAGUGGUGGAACUGCUCUGGCUUGGAUCUGCAUUUGUAACGACAUAUAAAAUUUAGGAAAUAUGAUAUGUAAACUCUCUGUGUUUAUAGUCUGGAUGAUGCAGUGUACAAAUGAUCUUACGAAAAUCAUUACUUAAUACUCCUAAACGAGAGACAGAAGCGUUCUUCGGAAAAUUUCAUUUAGAACUCCUACACAGCUAAUGAAAUAUUAUUAUAUGACAAACAUGUUAUACGUAAACUCUCUGCGUUUAUAAUCUGGAUGUAGUGUACAAAAGAUCUUCACAAAAGUCAUUACUUAAUGCUCCUAAACGAAAGACAGAAACAUUCUUUGGAAAAUUUCAUUUAGAACUCCUACGCAGCUAAUGAAAUAUUUUUAUGUGACAAACAUAAAUUUCAUUCAACUACUGGCCAAAUUGGAAAAAGUAAAAUACUAAUCAUGGACCAGAAAGUAAAAAAGAGAUCAUAUGCAUAGAUCCAGAGAUAAUGAUUAAACCUCCCUGGAAUCUUAAAAAGACUUAAAAGUGUUUUAGGUAUAACCUGAGGAAGGGCGUUGAAAAGAUAUAAGAUAAGGAAAAUUUUGCACAGAUCUACUUUAUGUUUACUUAACAGGGUCCAUGUAAAUGACAAUGAAAAACAAAUCAUUUCCUCAAAGUUCAUCCUCACUGGGAAGAAAUUUCCAGAAAAACGCUGCUUAAAAGUGAAGAUUUCCAUGAGCAUCCCAAAAACAUCCACAAAAAAAGAGUUUAAACCAAGGUCCUAGUUCUACAGCUUCAAAAUCAAGGAGCCACAUGUCAUGUAAAGUCAGUUCCUCUGAGAGAAAAGCCUGAAAUAAAAUUUAAUCCAAUAAGUCCUAAACCGUCCCUUUCUAUCUUUGCCAAGUAAUGAACCCCAAGUGUAUAUUCUCAAGGCCAAUACUGCAAAGUGGUCGCUUGAAACUCUUUCAUUUUUAGCUCAACAUUGAGAAAGCUCAGUAAUAGAUGAUAGCACAGGCAUCAAAAUCAAAGUCUCAAAGUAAUAUAGCAUAAUCUUAAACAUCAAAUUUCACCAACUAACUUCAAUACUAAAUAAAGCUAAAUAAUAUGAGCAUAAGCCUAAAACGGAAACCUUUGAAAAUGUACCUGAGUCAUAAAUUGAAAACCCAUAUCCUGAAUUGCUCUAAAAGUGUGCUGAGACAAUCCCAAAGAAUCAAACGACGUCGUACUCAUAAUCCCACCUCCUCCUCCUCCUCCUCCACUCUUCUUCACAUUAAUUUUAGUCUCCUCUUCUUCAUCCUCAUCGCCAUCAUGUUUCUCCUGGCUUUUCUCUUCACUCCCUUUUUUAUUCUUCUUUUUUUUAUCUUUCUUCUCCUCUACGGCCUCUUCAAUCUCUUCAUCUUCAUCAUCUCCUUCUUCCUGCUCUUCUUUUGGAACUUGCUGCUGCUCUGCUUCUUCUGCUACAGUGGCUUUGCUUCUGCUGCGCUUUCUCUUCCUCUUCUUCUUCAACUCGUCAUUCCCCGCCAUUGCUGCUCGUGCUUGUCUCUGACUAUUGUGUUAAAAGGCAAGCGAAGCCGAUAAUUCACACUACUCUAUCAAGCGACAGCGUUUGCAGCAUGUAUUAAACCCUAGAACACGAAGCUGCCGCAUGACUCAGGUUUAAACUUUGAUAUUGAUACUGCUCAUGCUGGGCCUCUCGUAGGGCCGCCGCUUCAGGCCCAUGAUACGACCCAACACUUGUUAUUUUAUGGACUAUGCACAUUAUCCAAAAAUGACGAUGCAUCUACAAAUUAUUGUAUAAAAUUUCUGGGUUACGAUCGUUUCACUAUUACUAAAAUUAUGAAUUAUCAAAUUUCCCUGCUGGCCUAUCAGAUUUUCCUUAAAACUAAAGUAUUGCUUCCUAUCAUUGUAGUAUUAUAAUUUUGUAAAAUCUUUCGUUUUAUCCUUUUUUUUUCUUAAAACCAUUAAUUGAUUAAUAAAAUAUCAAUUUUACCAUUUAUGAUAAAAUACACAAUAGAGAUAUCAAUUAGUAGAUAAAAAAUUACAUUAUACCUUUAAAUUGUUUUAUAAUAGUUUUAAGCAUGAAUUUAUAAAUAAUGUUGAAUUUAUUAUAACUAUAAAAGUAGCAAAUUGACAAAAGAUAUUUUUGUUGUUACAUGUGCUGUAGAAAUAAUCAGAUGUAAAGAGAAUUAAUUAAAUAUUUGGUAAAAUUCAUUUUUAAAAAUGCUGUGAGUUUUAAAAGCAGUCAUGUGUGUUUGAUAAAUUGUACUGUUAAAUUGCUGUAGAAAUGUAAAUAAUUAAAUUAAACAUAAUGUUGAACAAAUUUUAUUUAUACAUUUAUGAAUAUGUAUAUGCAAUAUUUUUUAUUGUGUACAUAAUCAUGGAUAACUAAAAUAAAUAUUUUAUGUUAUUAAUUUUAUUUCCUAAUUAAGGAUAAUUUUAGAUUUUAAUAAUAUAUAUGAGGAUAUAUGUGAAAUUGUAUAAAGUAUAAAAGUGGUUCACAAAAUCAGAUUUUAAGAAGUUACUCGUUCCCUUGUUGGGAAGUUUUCUUAUAUAGUCACUUUCAAAAACUCAUUAUCAAAACUAGCCAUAAAAUAAAAUUUCUUAAAAUAAUAACCACACGCACUUUUAUGGACUAAAUUACCCCUCCCUAAAGAUCCUCUCUCAUUUCAUGCCAACAACUAAACACAAACUAAUUCACCUCAACAACUAAACAAAAACUCCAUAAAACUCCUCCCAUUUCACUUCUCAAACUCCUCCAACAACCAAACACAAAACUACUCUGAUUUCAUUUGCAUCAAACAACAAUUAUUAACUAGCACUGAAGACAAAAUCAAUCAACACAAAAAAGAAAAAAAAAAGCUGUAGAAGGAAUUAAGGUUAGUGUUUUUUGAAAUUUAGAUUAUAAGAUUAAUUAAGUUUUUUAUAUGGGUUUUGUAGAUAUUUGUAGAAACAAAUAUCAUUAUUAAUUUUUAUUACAAUGUGGGUAGAUAUUUGAUUGUGUGAAUCCAAAAAUUAGGAAAAGUCUAAUAAAUUAUGUGUUUCUAUGAUUGUAGAGGAAACUCAGAUCGUAGUCGAAGGUUGGCAUUGCCCGCCCUUCUCGCAGGCUAAGUGCGGGCGAUGGUUGAUAUCGCCCUCAAGAAUUACGGGCGAUGGCUGAUAUCCACCGUGAGAACUGCGGCUGAAGGCAUCCAUCGCCUGGGCAAUGGCACCCUUCACCCACAUUUCUCGCUAAUAUUGCUUGCGAGAAUUGCGGGUGAUGGCACCCUUCGCCCGCAUUUCUCGUUGAUAUCGCCUACGAGAAGUAUGGGCGAAGGCAUGCAUUGCCCGGGCAAUGGCACCCUUCCACGCAUUUCUCGCUGAUAUCACUUGUGAGAAGUGCGGGCAAAGUCAUGCAUCGCCCGAGCGAUGAUACCCUUCGCACGCAUUUCUCGCCGAUAUCACUCGCGAGAAGUGCGGGGGAAGGCAUGCAUCGCCGGGGUGAUGGCACCCUUUGCACGGAUUUCUUGCUGAUAUCAGUUGCGAGAAGUGCGGGGGAAGGCAUGUAUCGCCCGGGCGAUGGUACCCUUUGCACGCAUUUCUUGUUGAUAUCACCCUCGAGAAGUGCGGGCAAUACUAGGCAUUGCCCGUGUGAUGAAUGCCUUCACCUGCAGUUCUUGUGGGCAAUAUCUGCGAGAAAUGCAGGCGAAGGAUGCCAGUGCUCGAGCGAUGGAUGCCUUCGCUCGCAGUUCUCGUGGGCGAUAUUAGCCAUCGCCCGCACUUAGCCCGCAAAUCAAUUAAAAGAUACUAUAAAAUUGUAAGAAAGUCAUGCCUUUAGUUCAAAUCCCCACGCCGUUGACAAUGCAGAACCUUUUGUUGAUGGAGGCUGUGAUGGUGAGAUUGUGAUGAUGGGGCUGUAAAAAGAAAUUUAUGAGAUGACAGGCGAUGAUGGGCGAUGACAUGAUUUAGGUGAUUUAGGCAAUUUCGACAAUGGUCUUUGGAGAGGGAUAAUUUAGUCCAUAACAAGUGUGUAGUUUAUUAUUUUAAGACAUUUUGUUUUAUGGCUAAUUUUGAUAAUGAGUUUUUGAAAAUGGCUAUAUAACAAACUUUUCCUUCUUUUCAAAAUCUAUUAUAGGAUAAGGUGAUUUUGGCAAAAGUGACUUUUAAAAAAAUUUACCAAAUGCUAAAAUUAGCUUUUAACUUUUAAAUUCACUUUUAAACCUCCCAAAAUCAAUCUUAAAUAGGGCUUUACAUGUUUUUUUUUUAAUAGAAUAGAUUGUGCACUUUUUUAAACAAAAAUGUACAAAGGUAUUUUUAUCAAUUCACUACUUUUAUAGCUACAAUAAAUUCAGGGUUAUUCAUAAAUUCAUGAUUAAAUUAUUAUUUAAUAAUUUAAGGGCAUAACAAUAAUUUUACUAUCAUUUGAUAUGUCUAUUUAUUUAUUUUGCCAUAAGGAUAAAAUUGAUAUUUUAUUAGUUAACUAACUAGUCAAUUAACAAUCCUAACGGAAAAGUAAUAAAAUGAAAGGUUUUGUAAGGUUAUAAUAAUAAAAUAAUAGAAAAAAAUACUUUUUGUAUUUAUUUGAUAUUUUACAAUUCUUCAAAUACUGAAAUAGUAAUAACAUAAAAAUUUUUAUGUAAUUUUAUAUGAACGCUUAUGUGACCUAAAGGAAUUAAUAAAAAACCAGAAUCUAUUAUGAAAAACUCAUUCAACUUUCCUUAUUCUUCUACUGACUUGUAAUAAUCUGAUAAGAAAAAUACGAAUCCUAUUACACUAAUUUUUUUUGUCUUAAAGUAGAUUGGAGUUCAUUUUUUUUUCUUUUCAUUUUCAACUCCAUUCGAACGAGUAUUUUAUGCAAACCUCCGCAUUUAGUCACAACUUCAUGUACAUAUAUGGUUUGUUUCUAUUAAGGGAUUCCACACUCUAACUAAAGCAAGAUCCCUUUUGGAGUUGGUGGGCUCAAAUCCAAUAACUCAUUAGUUAUUCUGUAUUUACCUUAUUUCUUUUAUAUUCCCAUUGGGGGGAUAUUUUGAUUUUGAAAAAAAAUCAAAAGCAAAUGUUUUAGGAUAAAUAAUAAAUGAAUUAAGAAUAACAAGAAUGUAAUUGUGAGGUAAUGGGGACUGGGGUCGGGGUUGAAGGUGCAGUGGGGACUGGGGAGUACAAAUUAUUCUCCAGCAAUUAUUUGAUGAUUAUGUUUUACAAUUUCUUGUUUCCAUCAAAAUUCAUCUCAUUCUCAUCCCAUUUAAUGCGGAUCCUUGAGGUCCGAAACUGGUGGAGGAUUUCUCCAUCUGCACUCUUUAUAAUUUCAAAAGUUCACAUGCUUGAAUGACCAAAGCUAAAAUAUGUACUUUGGCUCCACUCGACUGUAAAAUAUUUCACGUACACACUUACAACUAUGGCGAAAAAAAAGGACUUUGAUAGUUCUUAUAGUUGAUGAAAAUAUGUAUUAUUCCCAUUAUAUGUUAUCUAAGUAAUUAUUUUCUUAACUUAGAAAUUUAUAUUUAUUGAAUAUUAUCAUCUUUUUUCUGCUAAAAAAUUAUAGUUUUUUAUAUUAAGUAGGGAUUAGUGCUCUCAACAAUGUUGAGGACAACAAUUCAAGUGCUCAUGGAGCUCCUUCCCAUUCUCACAAAAUUGUGAAAAAUUGAUAGAUUUCUCUCCAAUGUUAAUUUGUGGACUAAUUUUCAGUAUAUUUCUGGAUUAUACUAUAAAUCUAUAUAUUUAAAGUCCAAAUAGACAGUACCACAGAUUGUCAAUGGUGGACUCACAUAAAUGGAAAAAAAUAAAAUCUUAAAAGUCUCUAAAAUUUUAUAAUUUCUUUUGUACAAGAUUAGAGUUAUCAUAUUUUUCUUAAGUAUGUGCUGAAAUCAAUAUCUACUAAGAUAAUUGAAAUACCCUUUAUAGUUAAGUUAUAUCUACUGAAAUAAACAAAACAUCCUUUAUAGUUGAGACUUUUUUUUUUUUCACUUUAUAGUUGAGACUUAUUUUAUUAAAUAUAUGUAUUUUGUUUAAAUCAAGGUUCUUGAUGUAUUUGUUUCUUUUUCUUUUAAUCUUUUAUAUGAACACAAAUAUAUACAAUAAAUUUAUAAUUUAACUUGGCUUGAAUGUUAUCAAGGAAACGAUGCUAGAGUCCAAACCCUGCAGACACUAUUGAUAUUAAAAAAAAAAAAAAAGACAGCUUUUAAUGUACAAUUAAUUAUUUGAUAACACAGAGAAAUGCAACUUCCCAUCACUCCAAUGCAUGCCAAUUUCUGCUCCUUUUACAAGUUUUCUAUCUUUAGCAACAAGCCCCCAGUUAUCGAGUCGAUAUAGUCUCUUCUUACUAUUUAGCAGUAAUGACAACUUAUAAAUUUUCAUUGUAUUAUUAUUAUUACUACCAGCAUCUGUAUCUUUAGCUUCGAUCUCAACUUGUCCAGCUUUACGCAAUUGCUUGCGUUGAUCAUCUGACAACUUCUUGACGAUGUGUUGUUCAGCUUCUGUUCUUGGUAAAUUUAGAAACAAGAUUGGACUUUUCUUCCUAUUUUCUAAAUUGGGAUUGUAGAUUGGAAUAUUUUCUUCAUUGUCAAUUGGAUUUACUGUUUCUUCUUCACUUAAAAUUCUUUUGAUAGGCCAUGCAUGCAAAGCACCUAAAUUCAUGAAAUCGUAAUGUGUUGGUGGAUUCAUGGACUAAAAUUGACAGAAAGAAAGAAAGAGUGGCAAUAUAUUUGAAGAAUAAUUCAGCAUGCAUAGAAGUGAUUUUUUUCCUUUUUUUUAUUUAUUUUUUUCUGUUGGCAUUAUAUAUAUGUAAUGAACACGCCUUAAUUUAAUUCCUAUUGAUUGUGCAUCCAUAUUAUAUUAAUAUAAUUAAUUCAUGCAUGCUUGCAUGUUUGUAGUUAUUGGUAUUAUUAGACAAUACUAGAAUGCGCAACGCCAACUUCUGAUAACUAUUAUUUAAUACAUUUCAAGGAAUAAGAAAUCUUCUGAAGUUACUAGGAAAUCAGAUAAUUGACAAUUAAAAAAAGAUGAGAAAAAGAAGAUUUAAAUUAAAAAGAGUGGUAAGAUCAAUUUGAAGACCUCCUUCAAUAAAUUAAAUUUAGAUAGGGAUAUCAUGUAAACAAAACGUAGAGCACAAUAUAAUAGCUAGUAAACAAUAAUGAAUAAUGGAUAUGUUACAUACAUGUAGAUAGAUUCAUGCAUGAUGCUUUUCUUAUUCGAGCUUUUAUCUAAACAAAUUCAAGUUGGUGAUUGAUUAUUGAUAAUAUAAUAUAUAGUUGGUGAUUGAUUAUUGAUAAUAUAAUAUAUUAUGAAAUUAGUAUAUAUAUCUUGACCAUAAAUAAAAAAAUAAUUAACGCACAUGUGCAAAGAUUAUUCGAAGUUUGGUAUUAUGGGGUCAGGAAGAAGAUUUAAAUAAAAAAGUUAAUGAGGUUGAGAAAAAAAGGAGUCUUUGGGCACGCGUUGGAUCAAUUUAAUUGGAUUUACGUGGGUCAUAAUUGAAUUCGGGUAUCUUAUCACUUUUGAAAUUUUGUUUAUAACUAUAUUUUGUGAACUUGUAUCAUGUAAGAUGGUUGUAUAUUAGAAGUGAGAUACCUUUCGAAGGAAAUAACUUUAACUAUAAGUGUCCGUUUUUAGUGUAUAAUAUGUCGUUUCGAAACUUACGAUAAGAUGAGUUUAACUUGACCUGCUUGUGCUGUUCUAUCAUGUGGUCAAACAAAAAAUUCUAUUUCUUUCCUGGUCAUUUUUUAGUUUUAACAUUUUUUUCCUAUUUUUCCUAAUUCUUCUAGGAUUUUUAUCAUUUUUUUUCCAAAACUCGGAUUUGAGUGCUAUUUGUUUUCCUUUCUUUUUUUGAUUAGGAGAAAUUUAUUAUAAAAUAAUAUUUUAAAUUUGCCUAUUUUGGCAAAUUCACAAUACUUAGGGCUAUUAUAUAAAGGGGUCUAAAACCUUAGUUUUGUACUAUUCAGAAUUAUUCAAUAAACUUCUAUAUUCAGAAACUUUGUUUCAACUAUCUUUAACUCUUGUACACUUCUAUUUUGUCCACUGGUAUUAGAGCAAGUGAGCAAGUUCGCUUGUCAUCAUGAUAUGACCAUACGAACAAAGAAGUAAUCGUCCGAAAGAUGAUGAUUAAGGGAUGUAAGCACAAACUAUGGAGGCUAUCAAAUAGGCAGCCCUAGAAGCAGUCUUGCAAGCAAUGAAAGAUGUCUAUAGCCUAAGAUGGUGGCGAUAGAGUGGGUAUCGAGAGUCUUAGGCUUUUUAUGGAUGAAAAUCGAGAGAGACGUCAAUAGUAGAGAGCGAAUCGCAAAGAAGAAAUUCAGGGUGUCAAUUGUGGUGAAUAACCUGAAGAUUUUAACCACACAGAGAUACCUCAAGGGAUCAAUCAUGAAAUAGAAUCUCAAAGCAUCAAUCGCGAAGCAGUGCCUUAAAAUUUAGGCACUGUGCAACGAAUGCCAUUGUGCACACGUGAAGAGUUAGGAAGUGAUUCUAAAGAAAAACAAUAUGUGAAAAGAGAUAGGAGGCAUGGAAAGAGUUCAAAUUAUAAUAUUAAAGUUGAUAUUCUAAAUUUUUAUGGUAGCAUGCAUGUUGAAGAAUUUUUGGACUAGAUAUUGACAGUGGAUAAUUUAUUCGAGUAUAUGGAUAUUCCUCAAGAGAAGUGGGUUAGACAUAUGGCAUUUAAUUUGAAGGGCAUGGCUUCUGCAUGGUGGCAACACGUAGAAUCGAAGAAGAGUUAUAGGAAAGAAAUUCAUCAAGUCGUGGCCUAGAAUGUAGAGGAUGAUGAAAGAGUACUUCCUACUCGCAGAUUACCAGCAGCAACUGUAUUUCAAAUAUCAGAACCAUAGGUAAUUAAAUCUUAAUAUGGAUGAAUAUAUGGUAGAGUUUUACCAUCUAGACACAAGAAAUAAUAUGGAUAAACCUAAAUUUCGGACAGUUAAGAAAUAAUAUGGACGAAAUAAUAGAUACAAUUUAGGAUUUGGGCUCUGCAGUCGCUAGGGCUAAGAAAUUGUAAGAACGAAGACAGCGAACUAUUUCUAGAACUCGUUAGUAGCAAUUCACUAGUUUGCAGAAUAGAACAAGUGGUCUUGGGGUCGAAAACAAGUAAAAAAUAGUGGUUGAAAGUAGAACUGGCAAAAUUUGACAUAACAUGAUUACCCGACACGAACACGACACGAAUAAAUAGGUAUGGAUUGUUGAAUUUAACACGAUUAUUUAAUGGGUUGGGUGAGGGUUGACACUAUUUUUUUCUGUGUCGGGUUAGGGUUAAAAUUUUUGACCCAUUUACCUGAUUAAUAACCCAAUUAUAUUUUCUAUUUUAAAAUAAUUUGUAGGUUAUUGUUAUCAAAAUUCAAAUAUUAAAGAUGAUUCUCUCUUUUCUUUUUCUUUUUUUUGAAAAGAUGAAUAUAAACACAAUAUUUUAUUUAUAAAAUUUUAUAUACAUUUAGAGUUUCAAUAAUGUAAAUGUGUAAAAUAUUGUUAGACAUGUAUAUAUAUAUAUAUAAUUAAAACUUUAAUAGUGUAAAUAUAUAAUAUUUUGGUAGAUAAGUACAUUUUAUAAUAUCAAUAAAUUAUGUAUGUAUUUAUGUAUGUACGAGAGUGUGUAAAUGUUUGAUGUAAAUUUUGUUUAAUAUAUAGAUAUUAAGUGGGUUAAUGGGUAACCCAAUUAUUUUUUCGUGUCGGGUUUGGGUCUCAAUAUUUUGACACGACUAUUAAAUGGGUCGGGUUUGGGUCGACCUAAAUUUGACAUGACAUGAAGCUGACACGACACAAACACAACUCGAUGACCUAUUUUGCCAGCUCUAGUUGAAAGUAGUCAGACGCAACAAUUGCCACAUCAGUAACUAAGGCAACAACCACUUAAGCAACAACAACCACCUAGUUAGCAAUAGAAUAACCUAUAUGCCAAGCUUAUGCUGAACAAGCGUUUGAAGUGUGAAGAACCAAGCCAUUGAUCGAGUGACUGUUGUUAAAAGAAUUUGAAUUUAGCAGAGGCAGAUGUUGUUGAGGAUGAGGAUGAUGAAAAAGCUUUUGAGUUAGAGGCAGAAGAAGGCGAGAAUCUGAAUUGUAUUGCUCAGAAAAUUUUAUAUACACCAAAACAUAACGAGGAUAGUCAGCACACCAAGAUUUUCAGAACCCGUGACCCCAUCAAUGAUAAAGUAUGCAAUGUGAUAAUUUAAUAGUGGUAGCAAUAAGAACAUAAUAUCAAAAGCGCUAGUCGAUGUGAUGGGGCUUUCAACAGAAAAAUAUCAUGCACCUUAUAGAAUAAAGUAGAUAGAGAAAGGGUACAAACGCGAGUAACAGAAGUAUGCCGUGCUUCUUUCUCCAUUUGGAAGAUUUAUAAGAGUGAUGUAGUGGAUAUGGAAAUGUGCCAUCUGUUAUUAAGCAUACGAUGGCAAUUUGAUGUUGAUGCAGUCUAUAGAGGAAUGGAUCUUUUGUAUGAAUUUUGGUGGAAUAGUAAGAACGUUCGAUUGAUGUCUUUAACGAACAAAAAUAAGAAUUCUAAGGCUAAAGGAAAGAACUUUCUGGCUACUGUCAAGAGCCAUUUAGAGGGUGAUUGUGAUGGUUGCAAGAAGCUGCGGAAGGAAUGUGUGAUCGAGGUGAAGACUAUUCCUGAAGAGCUGCAGUCAUUAUUAAUUGAGUUUGCUAAUAUUACACCACCAGAGAUGUUAGAUGGGCUAUUGUUAUUGCGAGAUAUGUGGUAUCAUAUAGAUCUAUUUCUUGGUGCGAGCUUACCUAACUUGCCCCACUAUCGUACGAGUCCUCACGAGCAUGUGAUUUUGCAAGGAUAUGUUGAUGAGUUGUUACGAAAGAGGCUCAUUCAUGAGAGCAUGAGUCCAUGUGUUGUAGCAUCUUUAUUGGUGCCAAAAAAGGAUGAGAGUUGGUGUAUGUGUGUGGACAUCAGGCAGAUUAAUCAGAUCAUAGUGAAGUAUCAUUUUUCUAUUCUAACGUUUCGAGAUUCACUAUAUCAGUUAGAUGGUGCUCGAGUUUUCUCAAAGAUCGACUUGUGCAAUAGGUAUCAUUACAUUCAAAUUAGGCAUGGAGAUGAGUGGAAGACAGUGUCUAAGAUGAAUUAAGGGUUGUAUGAAUGGUUAAUGAUGCCAUUCAAGUCACCAGGUACUUUCAUUUGCUUGAUGAAUCAUAUUUUUAAGCCUUUUUCCUGCAAAUUUCUUGUGGUGUAUUUUGAUGAUAUCUUGGUUUAUUCCAUUGAUAUGAUAACGCAUUUGAAGCAUUUAAGAGUGGUUAUAGAGGUGUUGUGGAGAAAUAAACUUUACAUUAAUCUAAAAAAGUGUAUAUUUCUAUAAAGUAAUAUAGAGUUUUUGGAUUUUAUAGUUGGUGUGGGUGGAAUUAGAACUAUUGAGUCAAUGAUACAAGCCAUUAAAGAAUGGCCUAUGAACAAGAUUGUGGAUGAAAUUAGGAGCUUUCAUGGGCUGGUGACGUUUUAUAAGAGAUGUAUUCGUGGUUUUAGCACUAUAGCCGCAUCUGUUAUAGAAUGUUUGAAGAAAAGAAGUUUAAGUAGCGAGAAAAGCAAGAAGCAAGUUUUGCUUUAUUAAAGGAAAAGUUGUCCACUACACAUGUGUUAGCAUUGCCAAACUUGGACAAGUUGUUUGGGGUCUAGUAUGAUGCUUUUGGUAUGGGAAUUGACGUUGUUCUUUCCUAAGAAGAGCGACCAAUUGAGCAUAUGAGUGAGAAGCUAAACGAAGCAUGGUAGAAAAGUCGACUCAUGACUAAGAGUUUUACGCCAUUCUUAGGAUGUUGAAGUCGUGGGAAUAUAACUUGAUUCAGAAAGAGUUUAUGCUUUAUUGUGAUAAUUAAGCCUUGAAGUACUUUAACAGCCAGCAAAACUUAAGCAAGAUGCAUGCGAUAUGGGUAAGCUAUAUUUAGAAGUUCACAUGUGUCGUGAAGCAUAAGUCUAUGCAGCAGAAUAAGGUGGCAUAUGCACUCAGCAGGCAAGCAAAUUUACUAGUAACUCUGGUAAAUGAAAUUGCUAGUUUUCAGUGCUCAAAGGAGUUUUACGCUGAAGAUGAACAUUUUGCAUUUAUUUGGGAUCACUGCUUCAACCAUCAGAAUAUGAAGGAUUUUCUAAUUCAAGAUGGAUACCUAUUCAAUGCUAAUUAGUUAUGUGUAUUUCAAAGCUCUUUAAAAGAGCAUAUUAUCCGUGAGUUGCAUGGUCGAGGACUGGGCAGACAUAUUGGACAAGACAAGACCAAGGCACUUAUGGAGGAGCAUUAUUAUUGGCUACAGUUGAAUAGAGAUGUGCGAAGGAUUGUGCAGAGAUGUCAGUAUGCCAAGAAGGCAAGGGACAUGCGCAGAAUACAAGUUUAUACAUGGCAUUACUUGUUUUAGAAAAUAUUUGGUUAGAUUUGUCCAUGGAUCUUGUCUUAAGAUUGCUACGGACAAGGACAAGUCUAGAUUCUAUAUUGGUGAUGGUGGAUAGGUUUUCGAAAAUAGCGCAUUUUAUUACUUGUAAGAAGACUAAAAAUGCCGCUUCAGUUGCACAUUUUUUCUUUCGCAAGGUGGUCUGUUUGCAUUGUAUUCAAAAGACUAUCACUUUUGACAGAGAUGUGAUAUUCGUCAGUAGGUUUUGGCAUCAUCUUUGGGAUAAGUUUGGCAUAAAGUUGUAGUUUAGUAGUGCUUUUCAUUCGUAGAUUGAAAAAAAAUGGUCAAUCGCACUUAAGAUAAUAUGUUAUCAUGUGUUUGUGGUGACAAGCACCAGAACUGUGAAACCACUUUGCCUCAGGUUGAGUUUGCUUACAACAAUAAGGUUAAUCGAUCUAUUGGCAAGACCUCUUCUAAGAUUGUCUACAUUUGUUCCCUACGCUAUGUUUGUGAUCUGGCUAUCAUGCCUACGUGGCCGGAGGAAGAAAAGUAGCAGAUAAUGUGGCAAAAAAGGCUUUUUAGAUUGAUGCCAAGGUUCGAGCUCACUUGGAGGCUGCCAAUGCUACAUACAAGGCUGAGGCAGACAAGCACCAACAUAAGAAGUUGUUUUAGGAGGGUGAUUUGGGGAUGGUGCAUUUGCAGUGUAGUCGAUUUCUUGGUAUUCAUGCCAAGUUGGAAAAGCAGAAGUACGGUCCAUUAUUUCAUAUGUCACAGAAGAUUAAUGAUAAUGCUUAGGUGCUUCAAUUGCUAAACAAUUGGAAUAUCUCGCACACUUUCAACGUGGCUGAUCUAUUCGCGUAUCAUCCGGAUGAUGAGGAGUUGUAUGAGCCUAACUCGAGAAUGAGUUCUUUUUCAAAGGAGGGGGACAUAUGUAGGAUGGUUGUAUAUAACAAGUGGGAUACAUUCUGGAGAGCAUAACUUGGGACAGGUGUCUGUUUUCAGUGUAUAGCAUAGCAUUUCAAAGCUUGUGACAAGACAAAUCCAACCCAAAGCCGCUUGCGCCACUCUUUCCCGUGGUUGAACCAAAAAUUCAUUUUUUUAGUCAUUUUUUAGUUUUAAAAUUUUUUUCCUAUUUUUCUUGAUUCUUCUAGAAUUUUAUUUUUUUAGAACUCGAAUAUGAGUGCCGUUUAUUCAUGUUUUGAUUAGGAGAAUUUUAUUAUAAAAUAAUAUUUCGAAUUUAUUUUAUAGUUUACGAAAGUGGAUUUUGCAACAUACGUAGAAGCUUAUGGUGAAGUCUUCAAAUACAUCAAUUCAAGAAUAAAUAAACACAAGUAAACGGAGAAGUCCCUUAUCAUACUCUUAAACAAACUUGUAUUAAUCAUUUAAAUAGCUGCUGCUGUUUGUUUUCUGUUUAGUUUAAUUAGUUGCUGUUUUUUGCUCUAUUAAUUUCAACCAAUUUUUGGCCCUUGGUUUGAACGUAAUUGUUUGUAUAAAGAAUUUGUAUUACCAAUUUCAGGAUAUUAAUUUGUUAAAAUUCCUAUACGCUCUCUCAAAAAAAAAAAAUGUCAAAGCAUUCCAUUCAAAUUAAAAAAAUAAUAUAUUCAUAGCUUUGAACUUCCAAGUUGAAUACCACCUAAAAAAGUUAAGUACUAACAUUAAUCUUGACAUUUUCUAUCAAUCUGAAAAGAAAGAAAUAAAAAAAAUAAUCUUCAACCGAUGUACGUAAGCAUACAAUUUCCAGGAAAAUAAGAGAUUAUUUUUAAAUUUUAAAGUCAGAAGAAAAAUUUCAUAGAAUAUGACUAUAAAUAUAGACCUCGUUGCUUUUGAUUCAGCAUAAUUAGUCUCUUGAAUCUGAUCAUUCAUAUCAGAAGUCGUCUUAAUUAGCAUUUACGAAAACCAGGAGGGAAAAAAAAAAAAAAAAACAUUUCGAAGAAUGGCAUCAAGGAUUUCCUUUGUGCUGGGAACCGUCUUGAUUUUAAUCUGCGGGCUUCUUUUUCUUCAAGCAACAGCUGAAGAUAACAAUACUUUCAUGUAAGUUCAUGCUAGAUAGUUUUAAUCAUCUUUUAUCACGCAUAAACGAUAUUUUUUAUCAUCAAUGUUUUUACAAGAUUUUUUUUUUUUUAAAUUAAAGGACUGCAGGUAAAUUUCAAGAAUUAACACGUGAGACUAACAUGGGGUUGUGCGAUACUUUAAACUCAAUGAUUUUUUACGAGACUAUGAAUUUUGGCUGUCGCGGUCAAUGUUUUGUUCGUCUCCGAUGCUCCUUUCAUGAAAUUGAUCUCACUAUCUCGUAAAAUAUCAAAAGUUGGACUUUGACUAUAUAAAAAUAAGUGCAAAAUUUAAAAAAUCAACACACGGUAUCGUGCCAAACCACCUAUUUUAAAUUAUAAGAAAAAAAGGUUUGUGUGUUCAUAUUUUGGAAAAUUUCAUCAUGGUAAAAUUUGGGUGUUUUGGUUGUAAAAUUUGAAAAAGUAAAUAUCCGCAAUCCAUAAAUGCUGUUAAUAUUUAUCAUCGGCUAUAUAUAACAUAAAAGCUAACAUAUUUUACGUUUGUCUCUUUCCAAUUUGUAGAGAAAGCAGGAGAGAACUUCUACCGGCUAUUCAGCUUCUGAAUUUAUUUAAGAACUUGAAAUAUAUUUUCCAAAUAUUUGAUUAUUAUGGUAAAGUCCAAAGCGCUACUGACUUUGCGAAUUGGAUAAAAUCUGAAGCUGAAGGUUAUGUUGAUCAACAAUGUCAAAACUCUACUACUCGGCAAAAUUACUGCUGCCUAAACGACCUGUUUCUUCAAUGCGAGAAAUGUUGUUCCGGGCUACGUCCAAAUUCAUCUUCAUUGGAAUUUUCAUCGGCACCGGCACCGGCACCGGCACCGGCGCCGUUGCCAUAGUCAUCUUGUCCAUAUUGUGGAAGAGGCUUCUAUAAAUACUGUACAGAGUGUUAUAUAUAAUAGGAAAAUAAGGGUCUUGCUACAAUACAUGCAUGUAUCACAUACAUGCAAAGAAACAGAAUCACAUUCCUGAAUAUCAUUCCAAACGAAUUUCAAUAUCAAUCAAUCAUUUUCCUUUCCUUUGUUUCCUUGAUAUAAAAAUGAUUUAUUUGAAAGCUUUAACAUAAAACGAGUAAACUAGUUGAGAGGAUACUGAGUUCGGCUAUAUUAACAAUUCAAAACUAAUUCCAUUAAAAAACCAGUGUUAGCACUUUAAAUCUAUCACAUCUAAUGCACUUAAUAUUCAUAAAGAAGUAAAUCAUUCACAAUACUUAAGCAAAGCGUUAUGAUUUCAACUAGUUUUACGAAAUAAAUAUAACCAGAAUAUCAAAUUAUAACUAGAAAGAGACCUGACGAAGGCCACCACCGAGCUCGAUGGUCUGGUUUGUCAUGCUACAUAGGUCAAGCACCACAUCACCUGGAACCUAAAAUAGUGAAAAUAGCUAAAAAUAAUUAAUUUUUUUAUAAAUAAGUUCGCGCAAAAAAAAAGAACAGAAGAAACACAGGAUGAAAAUACAAACCACUAUCUUAUCAACGAAGUUCGCUGUUGGCUCGUCUUCAUGAAAAUCCCAAAGGGCUUGAAUGGUAUUUUCGCAACAACUUCCCCUCUUAGAUGCCAACCACGACGAACGGAACGAGGGCGACAAUGGCGCCGGAUUUGAACUUGAACAACGACAUAUCGCGGCUGAAUUCUUUAAGGCUGGUCUCGACACGGUCAAUCUUUUUGGUCUUGGACUUUUUGGCGGAGAUUUUAGCUGGGUUUUCGAUUUUCAUAGUCUCGAGUUCUUGAAGGCUUUGUCGAUUGAGAAUUUGAGGGAUUUGUAAGAGUUGGUUCGCUAAAUGAGAAGCCAUGAGAUUGAUUCGCAAAUGAUGACGUGCUUGUGCCGCCGUUGAUGGCUAUGGAACAAGACGAGGAGAGGUGAGGUGAGAGAGUCGUGAUGCGUGCGUGCGGCGAGGGUUUUUAAUCUAAAAUCAUUUUUUUUUUUCAUUUAUAUAUUUUUAACCUAAACCAAAAGCAUGACCGGUUUCACAAGUUUCCAAUUCUCUUAAAUUUUUUAUUAUUUAAUAAUGAAACGAAUGUCAGCCGUUGGAUUCACUCCAUUUAAUCCAAUGGUGAUUUUUAAUCCAUGUAUCGCAUACAUGCAGGUACUAUAGAUGGCCCCAUUCUACUCACAGGAGUGAGGAAGGAAUUUAACAGCCAGUCGUGAGAAAUUUUAUCAAUAUACUGCCCAUAUUGUAUAUUAACUACUGUAAUAAUUAUUGUGGAUAUUGAAUAAAUAAGCAUUGGGGUGCACUUUUUGUAAGAGGUAUUGAUACUCAUUGUCGAACAAGCAUGUAGCCAGGGUAAGCCAGAGCCUUAAUUUUUGGCUCCAACGUAUGAUACUUGGCUAGAAGUCAUAUUUUCUUAAGUUGUUUUUGGUUGCAAAUGGGUUGGUUUAAGGUUUGAACUCCAAAGACAUUAGAAGUAUGUAUAAUUUGCAUAUGAAAAAGGCAACAAAAGUAUGAAGUGCAAAUAUACUUACAUUAUGAGCCCAAAACAAGUCAAUGAAAUUAUUCCAUUAGAUAUGCCUUGUUCUUGCCUAAUUGUUCAAAACUUAUCUCAUUAAAAGGCUUAGUGAAAAUGUCCACCAAAUGUUUUACCUUGCUAAAAAUAAAUUCUAAUUAGAUAUCUCCUUUUCAUGAUACCCUUGUAGAAAAUGAUGGCUAAUUUCAAUUAGGGGUGCGCAAGAUCGGGUUCGGAUCAACCCGAUCGGAUUUUGGGUUAAUCGGGUUGGAGAGAAAUUCAUCUUAAUUCAACCCGAAUUUUAGAUUGGAUCGGAUCAGAUUGUAUUCAAAUCGGAUUGAAAAUUUGGGUCUAGUUCGGGUCAAGGACAAUUUUGAGUCAUUUUUGUUAAUUUUAGGGUUGUUUUAUAAUUAUUUAAUUAUUACAUGAUUACUUUUACGAAAUUACUUCAUUUUAGUUCGUUUCCCCUUGCCAGUGAUUGUCAUAAAAAAAUAUAAAUUGAAAUAUGAAUUGAAAAAUUUACAAGCUUGGAGAACUUGGUGAAUCUCAGUCUUGAUCUCGUUGGAACAACCGUCGAUGGCUUCGUGUAGAUCAAGCGGUGGCCAAUGGAUCAAGCGGCAGUGGGUUUUGUUGAUGGCUUCACCAGUUUCGUCGAUGAUUGCCGGAAGAGCAGAUUCGAUCAAAGUAAAGUGGAGCAACCGUCGAUGGAGCAGCCAGCAAAUCCUGUCGUCGGUGCAGCAGAUCUGGUUGAAGUGGUGUGUUGCUGCUGGCCUGCUGCCAUGAUGACUUGCUAUUGUUGCUUGUUAGUUGUUUGUGUGAGUUGUGAGAAAGAAGAGAAGGAAGAGAGUGAAUAGCGAAGUAUGACUCUAAACUUCAUUUUUGUAAUUUAUUUUUGUCCUCUUUUUUUUUUGAAGUGGAGCUGUGGUGUUUGCUUGGAACACAGAGAGUGAGGUGUGACUGUGUGAGCCAUGUUGUUCAUAAGUUUUUCUUUUCAGUGACCAACUGGAUCGGAUUUUCGAAUCAGAUCGGAUUAAACCCGAUCCGAUCACAAUCCGAUCAGAUUGGUCAUAUACCAUCCAAUCGGAUUUGACAAGCAAUCCGAUCCAACCCUAACUCGAUUUUUUUCAGAUUGGAUUGAGUCGGAUCGGGUCGGGUCAGGUUGUUUGCCCCACCCUAAUUUUAAUAGACAAAUUAAUGGAAGUAAUUAAUAUUUUAACAUGAAAUAGGUAUUUCUCGAAAGUUUACUGCAAAGAAUCUAGGGUUUGUUUCUUCACUAUGGCUUGAGCAUAACAACUACCCAAUACAAUAUAUUUAACUUAUUCAAAACCCACAUAAUCUAAAAAAAAGAUGGAAAACAGUAAAAUGUUGUUUUUUGACUUUUGUUAUAAUUUUAAGAAAAUUGAUUUUUGUCUUUGAAAUAAAAAAGCAGAUAUUGAAAAUGUUACCAAAUGCACCCUAAAUAGUAUGAGAGAACCUCACAAGGAAUUUCUUACAUGCAAAAAAAAAAAAAAAAACAUUUCAUAAUGUGAUCAUGAAGGAUUUCAUGAUUUUAUGGGAUUGGAAACCAUAGAACUAAAAUAAAAUAAACUAAAAAGGGAAAAAAGGAAAGAAAAGAGAGAGAGAAUGAAAUCAAUUUGGAAUUAGUCCCCAAAUGCAUUAAAGUACUCUAAUUUCUCAUAAAUUAAGUAAAAUAUAAACUAACUAGCAUACAUGAUAAUCCAAUUAAUUUACUAACAAACUUAAUGAAUCAUAUGUGAUUUUAACUUAUAGGACUUUAAAAAGAGAGCAUGGGAGGGAAAAUGGUCCAAAAUAAUAAUAUUUAAAAGGGAGUAAAAAUGAAAAAAAGAAGAACAAGAACAAAAACAUGUUGCAAUAAAGAAGGUAUUGGUGGUAAAAUAUGGACUAAAGGUAUUGAAGGAAUGACACAUGGGGAGUAUGACUCAGCACCAUGACAAAGGGUAAAGAGGAAGCUGAAAAGGGAGGAUGAAAGGGAAUACCUUGAAAAAAAAAAAGGAAGAUCUCACAUAGGGAACGAGGCUCAAGAUUGCAAUAAAGAAUGAAGGAGAAGUUGAGAAAGGGGAGGUAGAAACUGAACGCUGACAAUAGAAAGAUGAAAAGAAGAAGGUGAGAUGGGAAAAUCUCAAGAAGUUGGCAUCAACCACACGAGUCAUAAGAGAAUAAUAGAAUAUACCUCCUAUGGUACAUCCGUGAAACCACAUAGUAGUACGGUACCCACUUAGACUACCUCCUAAAUAUCACCCAACAAACCGCUCAAAUUAGAGGUAAGGAAGGGGGACUACAGGCAAGCCACCAACAUUCUCUCCAUAAAAACCAGAUGCUCCUCCACCUAAUUAGCUAAUUCGAAAUAAACCAAUUAGAGUUAAAGACACCUUGCCAAACACAUACUAUCCCUACGCUAGCAGCUGUCCAACCUCAGCAAACUUAAUAGCCUCCACAAAUGAAGCCAAAUUACCUAAAAACCCUACCUAAAGAGGGAAAACAACAAUGACAGCCCGCCACUUGUCCACAAGAACAUAAAGAUGCCUUCAAGGGCACUCUUCUUAAAAAGGUCAGGUUGGUCUCACAUGAGGUAAGCGACUCAUUCACACUAAAAGCACUCAACUUUCUUCUUACUCUAGGGUUUCCCUGCAACCUUUCACUACAUCCUAUCUCUCAUUGAAUUGAUCGUCGAAGUGCCACCGACAUCACCUUUAACAGUCGUUUCUUGUGAUUUCAGGGCAUUCCCAACUAACACGACUCAAAAGUGUUAUUACUCACAAGUAUAAGAGUGUCUAGUUAUAAUAUAACCCGGUGAGUCCGGGGUCGAACCACAGGAAAUUUAAAAUCUAGUAGUCAAUUUAAAACAAAGAAAAUUAAUUGCGGGGCAAAGAAAUUAUUUGAAAUUGAUUUAAAAAUAAACUAAGGUUACGGGAUACACUCUCAGUAUUCAAACUAUAAUUUUAAUACUCUCUCAUUUUUAGCCUUACUUUUACCAGUUAAUUAUUAUAUCAUUUGAUUCUCAACUAACUAUGUGUGUGGAUAAAUAUGAAAUAAAGUACCUAAUUUGCCACAAUUAAUGUGUCGAUAUUAUGUCAAAAUACCAUAAAAUCCAGUGAGAUUUAUAAAUUAAUAUGAUAUAAAAAUAAAUAGAAAAUAAUAAAAUAAACUUAAAAACUCAUUUGAGAAAAUAAUAAAUUUAAUAGUUUGAAACAUUGAGCUUCACCCUUCACCUCAGCUUAAUAAAAUUAACCACUCAUAUUGAAAGAAAACACAACACUCUUUUUAUUUGAUAAACUUUUGGAAAUAUAUUACAAAGAAAAUUGAUACAGACGGAAACAAGAAAAGAAAGAAAUAAAUAAAGAAAUUCUUCAGCUACACCCUUGGCUAUUCUCUCUCAGAAAUCGGCUCCCUAGCUUUUGCCUUUUUUGCUACCAUUACGAGAAACCAAAUUAUUUUGGUUUUUGUUCUUUUGUAUUUUUUUUAUUCAUUUUCAUUUUAUUUAUUUAUUGUUUAUUUACAUAUCCUCAAUGAUGCUUACAAAUUACUCCAGCAGUCCUUCUUUGUUCCCGCUUUCAAUUCUAAUUUAUUCCUGAAAAAUAUUUAAAAAAUAAAAAUUAACAUAUUACGAAUUAAUUUAACACAAAAAUUUAUUUGAGGAGUAUUAAGAUAAUUUAGAAAUAAUGAGCGCAUUAAUCUACACAAUAAGUGUAAAACUAAUAAUUUUAUCUUUAUUACACGUACAUUUUUUAGUGUUAAUCACCAACCAUCACUGUCCUCACACUACAAGAAAACAUGCAAUAGAUGACAGGAAAUAACCGUCAUAAAGAGGGGUGCAUGACAGACAAAAUAUAUGCCAUCUAUGUCACUGUCAUUAAUUUAUGACAGACUUUUUCCCGCCAUGAGUUUAUGAUAGCUGUUAAAAGUCAUACAUGCGUCACAUUACAUUUUAGUGGGAAAUCAAAAUUAUUUAAAUAUUUAGGAAUUUUUUGGCGGGAAAAUUAGUAUUAUUUCUAUUAAAUUAUUUAAAAUUUUAUUAAUAUUGUAAAUUUUAUUAUUAUUUUUACUGAAUUAAUAUUUUAUUUAUUUAUUAUUAUUAUUUUACAAAUUCUAUAAAUUUGUUUUUAUAAAUAAAAUUUGUCAAUAUAAAAUAAAUACAUAAUAUAAUACUAGUAAUUAAAAAUCCAAUAAAUAACAUACAUGAAAUUUUAUAUAUAUUCAAACUACAGUUAAAUACUAACUAUGUUAUUGAAGCAUCUAAACUACAUCAAUCCCAAAUUUUCAAAAGAUAUCCUAAAAUAAAUAUUCACCAACAUCAAAAUACUUGUACAAAAAAUCAAAGUCCACCAAAUUCCAGUGGUAAAUCACUUGUAGAGUCUAAGUAGUAAGAGGUCAGCAAUUCUUCUCAGUUCCUUUAAUCACCACCAUUAUUUUUAUUUGCCAUUCAGAUUGCUAUUGUUGCCUCUCCAUUCGCUUAGCGUGCCCUUAAUUGUAGUAUCUACAAAUCCCUUAUAUGCAGCCCUGGAUUAUAGCAACAUGUAGAAAACAAUGUUUAACAAGCAUUUUACUAUUCUCUAAGGGGGCAAAAAAAAAAACAUUUUACUAUUUUCUAAUCAAAGAACCUAUGGCAAGUAUAAUAGAUUUAAAAACUAAGAAUUAACAUAAACAUCUUUCGCUAGUACUCACAUAAAUAUUUAUAUAACCUUAAGCAUCCAAGAACCAAAAGCAAUUUACAUGCUGCACUUAUCAAAUGUACAAUAGAAUAGAGAAAAUGAGAAGAAUUGCAAGCAUAACAAAAAAGGAAAAAGUACAAAAGUGAAGAUUUUAGUGAGAGAAAGAAUUGUCCUCGGUGUAGUUUACUUCCUUAUAAGCCAAUACACAACAUUAAAGGAAACUCAUACUUGGAUGUCAUAAUAAAGACAAAAAUCAACUAAAAAGCUAUUUGUAUUACAGAUUUUGUUGGAUAAUAAGGAUAUAAGGUUGAUAACAAAUUUAGGACUCUAAUGGAAAAGAAACUAUUAUCAAAUUCUCUAAUUUUCCUCUACAGAAAAGGGGCAUAACAUGACUGGUCCAUUUACAAUUCCAAUCAUAUUAAUAGAUUUUAUUUACCAACUAUCUUUGUGAGUUAAAAUAGUCUACAAAACACCAUUAAAAAUACCUAGAAAGGAAUUAAAAAUUUUGAAACUAACACCAUACCUGCAGUCAAGAGCCUUGCAUUUAUAUUCCUUACAAAAGUAAUACAAGUAUGGAGUUAUUUGCACAAAGCAAACCUGUGCAAUGGUAAACCUCAUAAGCCUGAGAAAUGGGUAUAUCACUACAACAUCAAGAAUAGAUCUAGUUUCUAUGCAUUAAAGUUUCUCACCAAACAGAGACAUAACAUGGAAGAUUGCAUCUCAUCUGAAUCAUAAUCAAAUAGUACAAUAUACAAUUUGAAAAUAGAAAUGAGAAAAUCAUGUUGAAGGAGACAAGUUUUAUUUUCAUACUCUAAAUCACCUUAGAAUUGCAAGAGCCCUACUGUAACUUUCCUAAGAAGCCCAAAAUGGAACACCCAAUUAAUUCUUUAAUUAAUAAUCUAUAAUAACCAUAUAAGCUAACAAAAAUUCUACACAUACAUGACUGCUAAAGGACUUUAUAUAAAAAUUAAAGUUAAAAAUGUCACACCAACAGUUUAUGCAGGGCUUCACAAAAAUGAGUUCUAGACCUUCCCCAAAAAAUUGUCAUUUUUCCUUAAAUGGUUUGCCUAAGAUCACGAACCCAAGGCUACAAUUUGACAACAGAGAAUUAAGUUUUCAAUUCAAAGCAUCCAAAAUAUAAACUAACAAAAUUAUAG
This 63030-nucleotide long non-coding RNA is filed under the name Citrus maxima (pomelo). RNAcentral's name for it is "long non-coding RNA (CMAX_LNC001295)". The record is from RNAcentral. Lineage: Eukaryota; Viridiplantae; Streptophyta; Magnoliopsida; Sapindales; Rutaceae.